Molecule: long non-coding RNA, 57121 nt
Filed under: Marmota monax (woodchuck)
Lineage: Eukaryota; Metazoa; Chordata; Mammalia; Rodentia; Sciuridae
Source: RNAcentral
GAUUAUGCUGGAGCAUAAUUUCCCCACCUUAGGUGCCCAGCUCCACUUACCCAGGCAGAGUUCAAAGACGUAGGCAUAGUAGGACCAGAGCACGACGAGGACAAUAACGAGCACUGGCACCCAGGACAGCACUCGGCGGCAGCACCGAAGCCCCCCAGACAGAGCCAUCUUCCAGCCCCGCCGCAUCUUCGGCUCGAAGAUCGACCUAGCAGGCCUGCUGGCGCUGGGUAGGAACUGCUUGGGCGGCGGCUGGGAGGCGGGAAGGCGGGCUGUGCGGCGCUCCACUGCCUAGCCUGGCGGGAACCCUCUCGCCUAGCCAAUGCCACCUGUGGGUCUGCACUGCUGAGUGCGCCCAGCCUGGCACAAUAGGCGUGAGUCACGGCGGCGUGGAGGAACUGGUCCUGUUGGAGCGGAAGGUGAUCAGUCAGGCAGUCGAGGCUGGGCACGCUCAGAGGGAGCGCAGUCCCUCCCCUUUCCGCCUCUCCCCCUAUCCCCCACCCCUUUGCUUCAGAGCUUGAUGCAGAGCUAGACCUCUGCAAAACUGUAAAGCGGAAGAAAUUUGGGUCCGCCCAUCGGCUCCUGCUGCACUGCGUCCACCCUCUUCUCUCCAAUUUCAUUUCUCUAUGUCUCUGUCUAUCCUUGCCUUUCCCUUCCGGUUUUCCUCGCCCUCUCCCUGACUCCCCCCUUCCCCGCUCACGCACUCAUACGAGGACACAUACUGUGUGAAAGAUGCACUGUAGCAUCUCAUGACUUAAAGGUCAUCCAGCCCCAUCCUCCCACUGCUGCUUGAACAAUAUGCUUAACACGUAGUGCUGCAGUCCAUGCUGGGGUAAGUCCUUUGACAGGGCACUCCCUCUUUUUCCUCUCUCUUUCCCUUCCUGCAGAAUUAAUUUAGUAUAUUUUCAGAAUAAACACAGUGGUACAGAGAAACAAAUUAGGGAGAUAAUGAUUCUGUAAGGGGCCAGGGAAAACUACAAAGGCAGUGAUAUUUGAACUAAGCUUAAUUAAUAAGAAUUUUUAAGCAGAUGAAAGCAGGAGGACCUUUCAGACAGAGGAGACAGCUUUUAAAAAGGCAUGGAAUAAGAAAAAUCCAAAAGUGUUCCAGGAACAUAUCGUGUGGCAUGAACUAGCAUGUAAAAAGGAGAGGCUGGAAAAUUAAACUGGGAAUUUAGGCUGAGGCCUGGAUGUGAAGGUUCUUACAUGCCUUCCAGGGUGUGAGAACAUAGUCCUGUAAUGAAUAUUAUGAACAGCCUGAAAGGUUUUAGGGGCAAUGAAGUGACAUCAGAGAUGUGUUUUUGCAAAAGAACUGGCAGGAUUUGGGAGAGGAAGAUGUCCUGGAAGCAGAGAGGCCAAUUAGGAGGUAAUUUAAUUCAACAAAUGUUUUUGGAAUGGUUCCUUUCUAUUAGGUCAGCUUUGGUAUAAAAAGAGGCCUGUUGCCAAGAAGCUCAUGUUCUCAUCAGGGUGAUAGGUGUUUUGUUUUUUUUUAAUGCAAGUACAAUAAUAAAUAGAAGUAUGGGUAGCCUCUUGACAUUUAUGGAUUUGACACUCACUGUUUUAAUGAUUUCCAAAGGUCUGUUACAUGAAGACAUUGUAAUUUUGCUGUGAUCAAUGUUUGAUUCACAUUCUGCAUGACAGCUGUGUGGGAGCAAGGGUUUCUAUAAAGUUGCUCUCUGUUCUUGAUUUAUGGUUAUAUAUGCAAUAAACUUCCUAAAAUGAUAAGAUCUUUAUUGUUUCUUUUCAGAUUAAGUUAAAGGUUGAUGUUACUAAAGUAAUGAUGUAAUGAAAUGCAGUUUAUUUUAGUUACAGUAUUUAAUAGCUCAAUUAAUUAUUUCAUCCCUACAGUUCUGAUGUGGGUACUUAAAUUUUCCAAUUAGUCAUGAAUUUGGCAACUCUUAGGACAUAUGUUUUGGGAUUGUCAAGGGUAUUCUCAUUAAGCUAAGUAGCUUUUAGGAGGCAUUAAGAGUGAAAGGGACAGUCUGAACUGGGUUUUUGAAUAAUGACUAGGAGUUCAUCAAGGAGAUAAAAGGUGGGAGUAGGAGUUACAGGGGAGAAGACCCCCCCCCCAGCAAAAGGCAAAGCUAUAUAGAUCAUCAUAGCAUAUUUGGUGGUUGAAAAUAAUCUGGCCUUGCCUAAAUGUAUUAGAAUAGUCUAACCAAGAGACUGUAAGGGCCUGGGCCUAUGACAGGAGAUGAGGAGAGAAAGAAGAAGGGGACAGAUGUAACAGUGUUUGGGGGAAAGAAUCAUCAGAAUUUGUUGACCAGUUGGCAGUGAUGUAUGAGAUAAAUUAUAGCUAACUACCAGAAAUUCUAACCUCAAUGCCUGAAUGAGCAAUUUGCUAAUUAACACUCUAGAAGCUGUGGUGAGAAGAGCAGAUUUUGUAGGAGUAGGUGAUAACUUUCAUUAUUGGACAUGGUGAGUUUUGCCUGAACCUUCUGAAAUUAGCCUAGGCACCAAUCAAUUAGUCUGGGUUUAGGGUUUAUGACAGGGAUGGCUCAUAUGCAAAGUAGCACAGAAGGCUAAGAACUAGAGAGACAAACCAUGUACAACAAGGUUUGGCAAACUAUGCUUAUGGACCAAAUCUAGCCCACUGACUUUUUCCAAAUGAAGUUGUAUAGGAACACAUUCAUGUCCACUCAUUUACCUAUAAUCUAUGACUCUUUUGCACUGCAGUAGCAGAAUUAAAUAGUUGUGACACAGAUUAUUUGGCAUACAAAGCCUAAAUUUAAAAAUAAUUAAAGACUUUCCCCUUUUUGGGGCAAUUUUAGAUUAACAGCAAAACUGAAACAGUUAAGAGAUUUCCCAUAUAACUCCUAUCCAAAGGCAUGCAUAACCUCCUCUUCUAUCAAAAUCUUCCACCAGGGUGGUACAUUUGUUACAAUUUAUGAAUCUACAUUGACACAAAAUUAUCACCCAAAGUCCAGAGUUGAUAACAUUCACUCUUGGAUGGACAAAUGUAUAAUGACACAUAUCCACCAUUACAGUAUCAUAUAGAAUAUUUUCACUGCCUUCAAAAUCUCUGUGCUUCACCUAUUUAUCUCUUCCUUCUUCGAAUCCCUGGAAACUACUGAUUAUUUUACUUCUCUUAGUUGUGCCUUUUCCAGAAUGUCACAGAGUUGCAAUCAUAUAUUAUAUAGCCUUUCCAGAUUGGCUUCUUUUAUUUAGUAAUAUGAAUUUAAUAUUCCUUCAUGUCUUCUUAUGGCUUGAUAGCGCUCUUCAGUGCUGAAUAAUACAUUGCCUAGAUAUACCAGUUUAUUUAUCUGCUCACCUACUAAGGGAUAUCUUGAUUGCAUCCAAGUUUUGUUAUGAGUAAAGAUGCUAUAAACACUGAUGUUAAGGUUUUGUAUGGACAUAAAGUUUUCAGUUCAUUUCGAUAAAUACCAAAGAGUAGGAUGAUUGGGUCAUGUGGUAAGAGUAUGCUUAGUUUUAUAAGAUAUUGCCAACGUGUCUGCCAAACUGGCUAGAUCAUUUUGUAUUCCCACCAAUAAUAAAUGAGAGUUGCCAUGCUCCAUCCACUUCCUUGCCAGUAUUUGGCAUGGUCAGUGUUCUGAAUUUUGGCCAUUCUAUAAAUUCUGAAGUAAUAUAGCUUUGUUGUUUUAAUUUGCAAAUCCCUAAUGCUAUGUAAUGUAGAAUGUCUUUUCAUGUGUUUAUAUGCCAUCUGUAUGUAUUCUUUGGUGAGGUGUCUGUUCAGGUUUGACCCAUUUUUUAAACAGAAUGUUUAUUUUCCCACUGUUGAGUUUUAAAGUUGUUUGUUAACUUUGGACAACAGGCCUUUAUCAUACAUGUCUUAAAAUAUUUUCUCCCAGUCUGUGGCUUCUUUUUUCAUUAUCUUGAUUGUAUCUUUUGCAGAGCAGAAGAUUUUAAUUUUAACAAAAUAUAAAAUUUCUUUCAUAAGUUGUACCUUAGGUGUGGUAUUAAGUCAUCACCAAACCCAGAUUAUCUAGAUUUUUACCUAUGUUACCUUGUAGGAAUUUUAUAGUUUUGUGUUUUGCAUAUAGGUCUGUGAUCCAUUUUGAGUUAAUUUUUAUGAAGGGUAUAAGGUUUGUGUCUAGAAUAUUUUUUAUUCAUGUUGUUCAGUUGUUCAAGUGGCAUUUGUUUAAAAGACCCAUAAAAACUGGGUCAAAAACCUGAACAGACACCUCUCCAUUGUGUUAUGCUUAUUCCUUUUUCAAAGAUUCAUUGGCCAUAUGAAUUUCUAGGCUCUCUGUUAUGUUUUAUUGAUCUAUUUUUCUAUUCUCAACAAUCACAUUGUCUUGAUUACUGAGGUUUUAUAGUAAGACUUGAAGUUGAGUAGUAUCAGUCCUCUUAAUGUAGUUCUUCUUCUCUGAUAUUGUGUUAGCUAUUCUGAGUCUUUUGCCUUUCCAUAUGAACUUGAGAACUAAUUUGUUAUAUCCACCAAAUAACUUGUUAGGGUUUUUAUUGUGAUCCAUUGAUUCUGUAGAUCAAGUUGCAAGCCUGAUACCUUGACAAUGUUGAGUCUUUCUAUCCAUGAACAUGGGAAUAUCUCUCCUUUUAUUUAGUUCUUCAAGUUUUUUGUCAGAGCUUUGCACUAUUCUUCAUACAUAUCUCGUAUAUGUUCCAAUAGAUUUCUACUUAAGUAUUUCAUUUUGGGAGAUACUAACUUUAAAUGGUAUUAUGUUUUAAAUUUCAAAUUCUACUUAUUUAUUCAUUGCUGUUUUAUAGAAAAGUAAUUGACAUUUGUAUAUUAACCUUAUGUCCUUCAGUCUUGUAAUAAUUGCUUAUUCUAACUUUUCUUGUUGAUUCUUGUAGAAUUUCUGCAUAGACAACCAUGUCAUCUAUGAACAAGGACAGUUUUAUUACCUCCUUACCAAACAGUAUAAUUCUUUCCUUUACUUAUCUUAUUGAGUUACUUAGGACUUCCAAUAAAUGUUGAAAAGGAAUGGUGAGAAAAGAACGUCCUUGCCUUUUUCCUGAUCUUAGUGGGAAUGAUUCUAGAUUCUUUCAUUCAUAUAUAUAGUUUUAGUUGUAGUUGGGCACAAUACCUUUAUUAUUAUUAUUUUUUUUAUUUUUUUGUGGUGCUGAGGAUCGAACCCAAUGCCUGGCACGUGCUAGGCAAGCACUCUACUGCUGAGCCACAACCCCAGCCCAAACAUUCUAGUUUCUUACAUGAUGUUAGCUAUAGGGGUUUUGUUUUAUUUUUAGAUAUUCUUAGAAUGUUGAGAAGGUUCCCUUCUAUUCUUAGUUUCCUGAGGUUUUUUUCAUUAUUAAAUCUGAAUGGAUGUUGGAUAUUGUCAAAUGCUUUUUCUUUUCUAAAUUAAUUUCUAUUGGUGCAUCUAAUUAUACGUAAGAGUGGGAUUCAUUUUAACAUAUUUGUAUAUGCAUAUAACAUAAUUUUGUCAAUUUCAUUACCCAGUACCUCCUCUUUUCUUCCCCUCCUCCUUCCCCCUGGUUCCCUUCUUCUCUUCUUGUGGUCUCUGUUCUAUUUUCAUGAGACAACCCCCAUUUUUUUUUCUCUAGCUUUCAUAUAUGAGAGAAAACACUCAACUCUUUACUUUCUGAAUCUGGCCUAUUUCACUUUGCAUGAUAUUCUCCAAUUUCAUCCAUUUAUCAGAAAAUGCCAUAAUUUCAUUCUUCUUUAUGGAUGAGUAAAACUCCAUUUUAUAUAUGGCUGUUGUGAAUUAGGCUGCUGUAAAUGUGGAUAUGUGCCAAAUACUUUUUCUAUAUCUACUGAUUUCAUCAUGUGAUUUUUCUUCUUUAGCCUGUUGAUUUGUUGAAUUACUUUAAAUGGAUUUUUUUUGAGAGAGAGAGAGAGAGACAGAGAGACAGAGACAGAGAAUUUUUUAAUAUUUUUAUUUUUUUUUAGUUUUCGGUGGACACAACAUCUUUGUUUGUAUGUGGUGAUGAGGAUUGAACCCAGCACCGUGCGCAUGCCAGGCGAGCGCGCUACCGCUUGAGCCACAUCCCCAGCCCCUAAAUACUUUAAUUGACACUCAAAUGUUGUACCACAAUUGAAUACCUGGAAUAAAUUUUGUCUUGUUGAAGUAUAUAAUUGUUUUCAUGUAGGGUUCAAUUUGCUAAUAUUUUAUUGAGGAUUUCAUAUCUGUUUAUUAUAGAUAUUUACCUAUAGUUGUCUUUUUCUGCUUUUAAUUCUUUGCCUGAUUUUAGUGUUAGGGUGAUGGUGGCCUCAUAAAAUGAGCUAGGAAAAAUUUUCUCUGCUUCUGUUUUAUGAAAGAAAUUGGAGAGAAUUGACAUAAUUUAUUCCUUAAAUGUUUUGUAGAAUAUUGAUGUGGAAGGUUAUUGAUUCCGUUUGUUUUCAAUUUUUUCAAUUACUCUCUCCCUUCCUCCCCCCUCUCUCAUUACUGGGCAACUGAGCAUUGAACCCAGGGGUGCUCAACCUUUGAGAUAUAUCUCUAGCACUUUUUAUUUUAUUUCUGAAACAAGGUCUUACUAAAUUGCUGAAGCUGGCCUCACACUUGCUAUCCUCCUGAGUUAUUGAUUCAACUUAUUUAAUAGAUAUAGAUCUUCUCAGAUUGUCUGUUUCUUGUGAGAGUUCUGGCAUCUUUCAAGAAAUUGGUCUGUAUCAUCUAGGUCAUCAAAUUUGUGAGCAUAGAGCUAUUCAUAAUAUUCCUUUGUUGUCCUUUAAUUUUCAUGCGAUCUGUACUUACGUCCCUUCUUGCAUUUCUGAUAUUAGUAAUUUGUGUUCUUAAUUUCUUAGACUGGCUUUUGGUUUUGUUGACUUUUUCUGUUUAUUUCCUCUUUUUGUUGCCAUUGAUUUCUACUCUAAUUUUCUAUGUCUUUUCUUCUACUUACUUUGUAUUUAAUAUGCUCUACUUUUCCUAGGUUUCAAAUGUUGAAGGUUAGGUAAUUGCUUUUAGAUCUUUUUUUUCUUUUCUAAUACAUGCAUUCAGUGCUAUAAAUUUCCACGUAAGCACUGUCUUUAAUGAAUCUCACAAACUUUGAUGAGAUCUAUUUUCAUUUGGUUUAAAAUAUUUUAAUAUUUCUCUUGAAAUUUCAUAUUUGAUGUAUUUAAUCAAUUUUUUUUCUUUGCUUCUCUCUUUUUCUUCCAAGACAGAAGGUCUUACUAUGUUGCCCAUACUGGGCUUGGAACCCUGGGAUCAAGUGAACCUCGUAUCUCAGCCUUCUGAGUAGUUGUGCCUACAGGCAUGUUAUAUAUUCUGGAUGUCAUUUCCUUAUUAGAUGUAUGGUUUCCAAAUAUUUUCUUCCAUCCUGUACAUUGUUUUUUUCAUUGUAUUGAUUGUUUCCUUUGCGAUGCAGAAGGUUUUCAGUGUGAUGUAGUCCCACUUGUUUUCCUUUUUAUUCCCUAUGUUUUUGGUGUCCUAUCCAAAAAUGAUUGCAAACAGCCUUUUCCUGAAAUUUCAUGUUUUCAUAUCAUAUCUUCAAUAUAUUUGAGUCAAUUUUUGUGAAUAGUUUAAGUGUCCUAUUUUAUUCUUUUGCAUGUAGACAUCCAGUUUUCCCAACAUACUAUAUUGAAUAGAUUAUCCUUUCCACAUUUUGUAGUCUUGACACCUUUUGGAAGAUCAGUUCACUAUGUAUGCAUGAAUUUAUCUCUGGGCUCUAUUUUGUUCCAUCAGUCUAUGUGUCUGAUUUUAUACCAGUAUACUACUGAUUUGUUCACUAUGCUUUUGUAAUGUAAUUUGAAAUCAGGAAGUAUGAAGCCUCAAGAUUGAUUGUUUCUUCAAAAUUGCUUUGGCUAUUUGAGUCUUGUGUUUCUAUAUUAAUGUCAAGUUUGUCAUUGGAAUUUUGAUAGGGAUUGUAGAUCUCCUAGGGUAGUAUGGACAUUUUGACAGUAUUGCUUCUUUCAAUUCAUAGACAUAGGAUAGCUUAUCUUUUGUGGGUUCUUUAAUUUCUUUCUGCAAUAUUUCAUAGUUUCCAUGUCCAAGUCUUUCACUUCCUUGGUUAGGUUAUGUUUAAGUAUUUUAUUCUUUUUGAUACUAUUGCAAAUCAGAUUAUUUUCUUAAUUUCUUUUUUAGAUAGUUUAUUGUAAGAGUGUGAACAUGCAACUGAUUUUUUGUGUUGAAUUUGUAUUCUGGAACUUUACUGUAUUCGUGUGUUGUUCAACAUUGUUUGGGGGUGCAUUAUUUAGGGGUUUUACAUAUAAAAUGUAAUCUGCAAACAGAUUUUUACUUCUUUCUUUCCAAUUUGGAUGUCUGUUAUAUUUUUUUCUUCCUGAAUAAUCUGGCUGAGACUUACAGUACUACAUUGAACAACGGUGAUGAGAGUGGACAUCCUUGUCUUAUUUCUGGUCUUAGAGGGAAAGUCUUUAGCUGUUGAGUAUGUUAGCUGUGGGCUUGUCAUGCAUGGCCUUUAUUAUGUUGAGACACAUCUCCUCUAUACCUAAUUUUUUGAGUGUUUUUAUUAUGAAUCAGUGCUUAAUUUUUUUAAGGCUUCAUUCUGUUAAUAUGAUGUGUCACAUUUAUUUAUUUGUAUAUAUAGAACUACUUUUGCAUCCCAGGGAUAAAUGCCACUUAAUUAUGUUGCAUUCCAAGUGAGAGCAGAGUUUUCACCUAAGACAUCUUGGGAUGCCUAAACCAGAAAACAAGCUGAGCUGAAAAAAAUAGAGAGAAGGAGGGGGAAUCUAGUAAAGGUGACCAAAUCAAAGAAGGCUUAGAGGCAGGAAUUUGAACCUGAGACUCAGAGGCAGGGAGAUUAAAAGAUGAGAGAAAGAAUAAAUGUAAAUGAGUUGGAAUUAAUGGCAGCUGCAUGGUGGGACUGCAAAUUGGUGCAGCCAAUAUGGAAAGCAGUAUGGAGAUUCCUUGGAAAUUUGGGAAUGGAACCACCAUUUGACCCAGCUAUCCCUCUCCUAGGUUUAUACCCAAAAGACUUAAAAACAGCAUACUACAGGGACACAGCCACAUCAAUGUUUAUGGCAGCACAAUUCACAAUAGCUAAACUGUGGAACCAACCUAGAUGCCCUUCAGUGAAUGAAUGGAUAAAAAAAAAUGUGGCAUAUAUACACAAUGGAAUAUUACUCAGCAAUAAAAGAGAAUAAAAUCAUGGCAUUUGCAGGUAAAUGGAUGGUGGUAGAGAAGAUAAUGCUAAGUGAAGUUAGCCAAUCCCCAAAAAACAAAUGCUGAAUGUUUUCUCUGAUGUAAGGAGGCUGACUCAUAGUGGGGUAGGGAGGGGGAGCAUGGAAAGAAUAGAUGAAUUCUAGAUAGGGCAGAGGGGUGGGAGGGAAAGGGGGUGGUUUGCGAUGAUGGUGGAAUAUGAUGGACAUCAAUGAAGACAUGAAUUGGUGUGAACAUACUUUAUAUACAACCAGAGAUAUGAAAAAUUGUGCUGUAUACAUGUAAUAAGAAUUGUAAUGCGUUCCGCUGUCAUGUAUUUUUUUUUAAAAAUCAAUUUAAAAAAUGGCAGCUGCAAUUGGAGUAGGUGGUUGCAGUAGUGAGGAAGAAAUACAAGAAAUAUGAGUGUGUUUAGAGAGAUGGUAAGGAAGGUCUGAGGUGAUCAUGAGAAUGCUUGUGAGUAUUUGUAGCUUGGUUUUAUGAGUCAACCCAUGUUUAAUACUUAGGAGGGUCAGUUACAUUAAAGGAACAAUGGCAGAACAGACAUUACCAUUUUCUGGGUUGGGGCAUACUGUUCUUAAUUGGAAGGGAAAUUCUGAUAUAUUCUGCGUGUUUUGUAGUGGCAGGAAAGCUCCCAUAACUGCUCUUCUUGCUAAUAUCUAUCCAAUUACACCAAGUAUUACAACUGAUUAGUAUCAGUGGGAGUCAGAUACUUGUUUCACCAUGUAUUCUGGUUCCCAUUAUGAAGCUUCUCAGGCAGGUGUGAGUCAUGGGUUGACAUUGGUAUGACCUAGCAAGGAGUAGUAGAAGGAAUAUUAAAACUGAGUGGGACACUGGGGUUAUAACUCAGUGGUAGAGUGCUUGCCUUGCACAUGUGAGGCACUGGGUUUGAUCCUCAGCACCACAUACAUAUAAAUAAAAUAAGAUACUGUGUCCAUCUUUUUAGAAAAUAUUUUUUAAUAUCUAUUUUUUAGUUGUAGUUAUACACAAUACCUUUGUUUUAUUUAUUUAUUUUUAUGUGGUGCUGAGGAUCAAACCCAGGGCCUCGUAUGCACUAGGCAAGUACUAUACCGCUGAGCCACAACCCCACCCAGCCCCCAAAAAUAUCUUUAAAGAAAACUGAGUGGGAAGCAAUUGGAACUUGAAAGGCUGCCGGGGUCUUCAAUGGCUACAGAAUAUAUUGGCAGGGUUAGAUAGUGGUGAUGUGUUUGAAAAAGAAAAGACAGCAUGUCACACUUUUAUAUCUCCCCUGGGGCUGUUCAGUAUUCUGUCUUGUAGAUCUUCUUAACUGGCUAGUAUGCUUCCUGGGUACUGUGUGACCUGUGAGGAUUGCAGUAUUAUCCUAUGGUAUGGGGAAAUUACAAAUGUGAAAGCCAUUAUUGUAAAUCAGCAUUUGGGUAAAUAUUAUAAUGAGUUGUUAUAAACAAAGACAAAUUAGAGUGGUAAAGUAGAACUAGACAUAUUAUUUGAAGAAGUAUUACAGUGCAGAUAUAUUUCCAGAACUUUGAUUAAAGCAUACCUCUUGUUUUACCUAUUGGUCCACAUAUAUAGUCAGAAUAUGGAGAGCUGUGAAUAUUGCUUUCCAGAGUAAGGCUUUUAAAUGAGGGUCUUGGUCAAUUUCAGGUAAUGAGUUUCAAGGAAAUGGAUACUUCUUUGAUAAACAUUAAGUGUCAGUUAGUAGUUGUGAAUUGGAGUUCAGAAAAAAGGGGAUACAUAUAUUAUCUUAAUGAGGGUUCUGCCACUUGUAAUAUGAUAUCAUGCCCUUAGGAAGGAUAAAGAUCCAGAGAAGUACUUUUUUGUGAAAUCCACUGAAAUGGAAUUUCAUGGAGAAUUUGGUGCUUAGGAUAGGGUAGAGUAAUACUUAGGGCUUUCAGUACCUGUCCUCAGACUGAAACCACAGUAUCUGACAUACAGUAGGUGCUCAAUAAAUUUUUGUGCAUGAUGAAUUUUUCACUUACUAGACAUGCUCAGAAUUUCAAAUAGGCUUUAGUAGCUAUUUAAGGUACUGUGGCAGAACCACAUACCUGAAGUUUAGGCUACUCCUUCCAGGACAUUGACUAUUCAUUGAACAUUGGGUUUAGCUUUGAGGGGCUAGAUGAAGAAGUGUCUAUGUCAGAGAUCCUCAAGAUUACUCCCAGGUUUGGUGAUUUGCGAGACUUCCAGAACCAUGUAUAUAAUGUUGUUUAUGGUUAAAAGUAAUUAUAAUGAUGCAGAAGGAUACAUAGCCAGAUCAUAAUGGAAAAAGACACGGAUGGAGUAACUCCCUGUACAGGCUUUGUACAUUCUCUUUUCCUUAUGAAGAGUUACAUAGAGUGCACUCUCCCCCAACAAGGAAAACGCAGCAACACAUGCGAAAUGUUUUCUACCAUGGCAGCCCAUUAGAGACUCAGUGCCCUGGGGUUUUAUUGGUGACUAAUUACAUAAGCACUCUCUGCCUAGCACGUACUGAAAUGCCAGACUCCCAGAAGGAAGGCAGGUGUUCAGUCUCACUUGCACAAAUAGUCUAGGCACAGUGUGCCACUCUAAUCAGUUAACUGUUGACUGGGAAUACUCCAAGAACCAAGUUCCCAGAUGCAAACAAAGGGCUAACCUUAUAAGCAGGACCUUCUAAGGAUAGCAAUUUCAGGCCUGUUGCCUUAACCAUCUGUCUGCUGUACUGUAGCUGAAAUCAAUGAUCAUAAUGUUCCCAGGCCAGAUAAUUUCUUAGGGUAGGAUUCUUCUGAUACCUCCUGAUAUUUGGGGCCUGUUUUAAAUCUAAGAUCACAGGAAAAAGAAAAGUUUUUAAAAAGGAAGUCUACCCCACUGGGUAUAGACUGAAUUUUUCUAACCUCUGAUGCUCUAGAUUGUCAUGAUUUUAUUAGACCUCCUUGAAAUUUUGGGUGCCUUCAGUGUAUCCAUGUCUUGAUGGUAGCCUCAAUCAUCAAUUUCCUUUUCUCACAUUGAAUAGUUACCUUUAGCUAUGACCAGUCUUUUUGUGAGAAUUACAGACAAAGGAGAAGUUUCCCAAGGUAAAUGGUUAGAUCUGGGUAAGCCAAUAUUAUGGGAGAAAUAGUUUCAGCUCCUGGAAUAUAUAACUGUUGUAUAUAAUAACUCUUCCCAUUUCUGAACAACUAAUUUAGUGGAAAGAUCAUUAGGAAAGGAUGACAAAGAUGCUGUCAGUAACAUCCAACAAUUCUAGAACUGCCAGACUCCUUUGGUUAUCUGGAGGGCUUCUCAGUAUAGAACUUCUGGUAUUUUCUCUGGAAUCAUAUGGAUGCCUUGGUUUAAUGAAUAUAGCCUUAGAAGUGUUCUUUCAGGCUAUUGAAAGUAAAAUCCUUAAAAUUGACCUAGAGGUGGUAGUGCUGUACUUAGCCUAAAAUAAAGGCAUCAUUCAUUUUUAACUCAGAUGCCAGAGCUUCCCUUUCCCUGGGAAUUUAGGUAAAUGUGACUUGACUCCUCAAUCUCACAGUCUUCACAAACCAGCAUCUUUUCCAUGAUUUCUUUGAAUGUUCAAUCCUAUAUUUUCACUUGUGCCUCUUUGCUAUUGAGAGAUGAAAGUAGGUAUUAUAAUUACAUAAAGCUAGGAGCAGAGAGAAUUGUGAGGAGAAAUGAGGAAUAACUGCUAAUGUGAAUGGAGUUUCUUUGGGGGAUGAUAAAAUAUUCUAAAAUUCAUUGUGGUGAUGGUUACACAACUUUGAAUUUUAAAGAAAUCAUCAAACUGUAUGCUUUAAAUGGGUUAAUUGUAUGGUAUGUGGAUUAUAUUUCAAGAAAGCUGUUAUAUUUAAAAAUAAGGAUGCGUGUCAUUUUAUUAGAUAUUGUGGAUUUACUGCCAGAAGAGUUGUAGCAGUUUGCCUUCCCACCAUCAAUGCAUAAGAGUGCCUAAUUCCUCAUAGCCUCACCAACAGAAUGUGUUGUCAUAUCUUUUUGCCAGUCUGAUACGUGAGAAAUGGUGUCUCAGUGCAGUUUUACUUUGCAUUUCCCAAAUUUUGAAUGAGUUUGAACAUGUUUUCAUGUUUGAGGAUAAUUUUUUUUAUCUUCUGCAAGUUAUCUGUUCAUCUCUUUUCCUCAUUUUUCCAUUGGGCUUUUUAUUUUAUUCAUUCAAUUCUUAAGAGUUCUUUGUAUAUAAUAUAUAUCAGCCCUUGUCUGUCAGCACCCAUACCCUUUUCUUUUUUUGGUACAGAGGAUUGAACUCAGGAGCACUCGACCACUGAGCCACAUCACAUCCCCAGCCCUAUUUUGUAUUUUAUUUAAAGACAGGGUCUCACUGAGUUGCUUAGGGCCUUGCUAAUUUGCUGAGGCUGGUUUUGAUCUUGCGAUCCUCCUGCCUCAGCUUCCUGAGCCACUGGGAUUACAGAUGUGCACCACCUCGCCUAGCAGCACCCACACUCCUAACCAUUACACUCUACUGCUUAUCUGCUCUGACACUUUACCCAUGAAGACACCACUUUUCCAACCUUUAUCACUGAAAAUGGCUCAAAUGCUUGUCAUACAAUUAUUUAAAUGUAGUGUAGGCUCUUAAGGUACAUGAUCUAGGACCACAUUUCACAGCAAUGUUCCCCUGGAGUUCUGCCAGUUUUGAGAGAAUGCAGGUAGGUAAAGCAGCUUGAUAACCUAUUUAGAGAUUGUUUAGGAAGUUUUCCUUUUUGAAACUCUAUUAUUUAUUUAUUUGUUUGUUUUUCUGCAGCCCCAGAUGAGAAAUCUGGCUGUCCCCAGUGCUAAUAAGUCAAGGUAGAAUCCUAUCUUUGGGGACAGCAAGACUUCUUGCUUUGGUAGUCACCUUUUGGGGAGGGCAGUAAAGGAGUUACACCCUUCUGUUUUCUGGACUAUAGAUCAGCUUAAGAAAAGAAGUUAUAAAGAUUUUUGUUUUGCUACAUUCUUAUCUGUGCCACUGUCAGGACCUUGUCCAGCAUCCUAAUUAUUCUCCCUUUUGGAGUGAGCCUACCUUAUCAUUAUUAUUUUUGGCUGCCCUUUGACCACCUUUGGUUGCCUUUCUCUUGACAGUUUGGAAGUUUCUUUAAAAAUGAAACAUGCAAUUACCAUAUGCAAUGGUUUGACCAACCCUCCAAAACUCAUGUUGAAAUUUAAUUGCUAUUCUAAGUGUUGAAAGAUGGGACCUUUAAGAAGUGAUUAGGCCAUGAGGCUCUGUCCUCAUGAAUGUAUUAAUGUCAUUUUCCCAGGAAUAGGUUAGGUAUUGCAGUUCCUGAAAAAAAGAGAUGAAUUUGGCUUGAUGUUUCUUUCUGUCUUGUGUGUGCUUGCUUACCCUCCCACCAUGUUAAGGCACAACAUGAAAGCCCUCAGCAGCUGCUGGUGCCAUGCUGGACUUCCCAGAAUACAGGACCAUGAGCCAAGUAAAUUUCUGUUCAUUUUAAAGAAUCCUAUCAUUCUAGCAGUAGAAAAUGUGCUGAGACUUUAUGACAUAGCAAUUGAAUUCUUGGGCAUUUACUCAAGAUCAAAAAAAUGCAUAUGAAUGUUCAUACUAGUUUAUUCAUAGUAGCUAAAAAGUAGUGAGAAUUCAGAUGCCCUUUAAUAGGUGAAUGGCUAAACAAACUAUGGUACAUUUAUACAUUUAUACCACAGAAUACUAUUUAGCAACACAUAGGAAUGGACUCUGGAUACAACAAAUUGGAUAAUUCUCAAAGGCAUUAUGCUAAGUGAAAAAAAAAGUCAGUUUCAAAAUGUUGGGGAGAGUACAUUCCAUUUAUAUGUCACUCUAGACAAGAGAAAAUUGAAGUGUCAAAGAACAGAUCAAUGGUUCCCAGAGGCUAAGGAUAGUGAUAGAGUGUAACUAAAAUGUAAUAUCAUAAAGAAGGUUUCUUUUUGGCCGAGGGGUGAUAUAACUGUCCUUUAUCAUGAUUAUGGUAGUGGGUAUAUGAAUCUGUGCUUGUGAUAAAUUCUUAGAAUGAUAUGCUAAAAACAUCAUUCUUGCUUUAUUUUAAUUUUAAAAACAAACAGAAGAAAUUCAAUAGAAAAAUAAUAACCAUGCUGCUAGUAAAGUAUAAACCUAAUUCAUUUUAAAAAUAAAGGAAUGGAGACAUAUUAGACUGGACCUUGAAUAAACAGAAGAGGAAUUAGGGAUUUAUUUAUCAAAUAGUGGGGAAGAAACAAAAGCUUGUAAAUUGGGUGGUAAAAAGUAUAUUUGUGUCUGAUUUGUACAAAAACCGCCCUUAAAAGAGUACAAUUAAUAAGGGAGUGAAAUUAAAAACAGGAGAUAUUCUAGAUGAGAGACAAUAAACAACUAAAAGUGGGUCAAGGAGAGUAAGAACAAAAAUGGUUGGAUAAGACCUAGAUUUGUUAGACAUUAUGACCAACUUUGCAGAAAUUAGCCACUGGUUUGAUUGGCAAAAGAAAAAUGCUUUGCUACUAAGUUCUUUAUUUGAAAGGUCACUUUCUUCCUGUGUUCUGGCUAAAAAGUCAUUUGCAUAAAAUUCCACAAUAUUAGGCCUUUGAGUAUAUUUAAUAAACAACACUCUAUCUUGUGUCAGAAUGGAAGUUCUGAAAUGCAGGCCCUCAGGCAGAAGUAGCCAUGUCAAAGUCCCAAACUUGUAACCACCUGAUAAUUCUGUGAAUGCUGGCUCUGUCCCCAGAUUUCCAUAGUAAUAAUAUUAACACUUACUGCUUACCAUUAUGCCAGACCCUGUUUUAAGUGCUUUGUGUAUACUUUUUUUUUUUUGUACCACGGAUUGAACUCAAGGGCACUUGACCACUGAGCCACAUCCCCAGCCCUGUUUUGUAUUUUAUUAGAGACAGGGUCUCACUGAGUUGCUUAGCACCUUGCUGUGUUGCUGAGGUUGGCUUUAAACUUGAGAUCCUCCUGCCUCUGCCUCCCAAGCCGCUGGGAUCACAGGCAUGAGCCACCGCUCCCAGCCUGUGUAUACUGUUUAUUUAAUCACAUCAAAAUUUCCAGAGAUAGUACUGUUAUCAUUCCAUUUUGAGAUGCAGAAACUAAGACAUAGACCCGCCUACAGUUCACACUGAAAGUUAAGAGACUGAGCUGAUAUUCAAAACUUAAGCAGCCUGACUCCAUGGCCGAGGCUCUUGAAUGUUACACUGGGCUACCUCAUAAGAGGCCAAAGAGCCUUGAAAGCAGGCAAGUAGAAAGAGACAACUCCUAGCAGUUUUCUUUACCUUGACCAUUUCCCUUUAAUCAUUUCUCCUUUUUGUGUUAUCUAUUGUUAUUGUUGCUUUUAUACCCUUUGCCUAAUAUUAAGUACUCUUGUUCUGUUAUCAGUUCCCUCAAUCACUUUGUAGGCAACCUCUUCAUAGUGGUCCUCAUGUCCCAUUGUGGGAAUCUUGGGUGACUCUUGGUGAGUCUUCCUCCUAGGUUAUCCUAAUAAAGAACUCUAUGGUUGUUUGUUUUAGAGUCAGAAACUGAGUGGGGCUGAUAGGUUUCUGGGAUAAACUAAGUAGGCCUUUCUUCUGAGUCACUUCAUGGGUAUGUGGAAUGAGGUAUUCUUAUCUUAACCCUAGGCAGAUUUCAGGAAUUCAAGAGGAAGGAGCAAGAUUUUCCGACUUGCACAGCUGACUACAGCCAGCAAGUGAAACCUAGCCCAUUAUCAGUUUUUAUAAAUAAAACUGUAUUUAGUCAUGCCUAUUCUAUGGCUGCUUUUUUUUUUUUAAGUACGAGAGAACUGAGUAGUUGCGAUAGAGAUCAUGGGACCCACAAAGUCUAAGAUAUCUGCUAUUUAACCCUUUACAAAACAAUUUUUGCCAACCCUUGUUGUAUGAGAUGAAAUAUCCUACAUGAUCAGAGGAUUCUAUACAGGGAAAUGCUAACAGAUUAAAUUUCUAUUUUAGAUGGAAACAUUUAAAAGCACUAAGAGGAAGAAUCUAUAUCUAAGGACCAGAAAGGACAUUAUCAAAAUAUGGUAGAAAGAGUACUUAGUGUAAAUAGAUAAAAGGGAUUAGCUUUUGAAGAUGCUGGUUGAGAGGUAAGUUCUGCAAGAUUUGGCUGGUGUGUGUGUACGCUAUAUGUUAGAGGAUCUCUUUUCUAAGCAAACAUGAAGACAGAGAGAGGAACAUAGUGCAAAAUAAAUGUAGAGGAAAAUACCCUUCUUGUUUCCUGAUUUUUUUUUAAAUGACCACUUUGUUUAUUGCAGAGUUCCAGAAAUUUUGUCUGAAGUUCGUCUUCCAAGGCCUGUAUUUGUUAGACAACAUUGCCCCUAGCGUCUGCAUGUCAGCAUCACACUCUAAUAGGCAGACUGAAGAACAUUACUUGACCAGGGCAGCAAUGGUAUAGACCAAUUGCAAAGAUCACAUUACUCUUUUUUUUUUCUUUGUCAAAAUUUACAUCGAUGACCAGAUAUGCUCUCAUCAGAAAUACACUGGUAAAGUCUGCUUAUUAAAAGAGGCUAGUAAGAUUGAAUCUGGUGCCUUUUGCUUUUCCUUGUAAAAAAAUUCAUUUAAAUAUAAAGUAUUAUUCUCUCUCAAGAAACUUCUUUUAGCUCUGCCAAAUCUGUAAGGCUAUGGACUAAGAAUAACACUUUAAUGAGUUUUGAGAUUCACUUGUCAUAGAUGGUCUUGUGCAGGAAUUACUGAAACAAACUGCCCUUCUUUGCCAUUUCCCAGGCCAGGAUUGCUGCUUUCCUUUUGAAGCCCUGUGAAGAUAUUAAAUCAGAAAGAAGAUGCAAAGCACCACCUCUAUCAUAUAAAAGCCUGGAUACCUUAGUCCAGAACUGCCCUUUCUCCUCCCUCCCACUCUCUUCUCUCUUAUUGUGAACUCAUGAAGGAUACCUCUGUAUCUUUCCAUAAAAACACUGGUAACUGCAAGAGAUGUGGGAAUGGCCAUGAUUCUCAAUCAUAGGCUUUUACUCCUAAUAACAAAUAUAUGCUGAGUGUUUUAAUUCAGGACACAGUACUCCAUUACCUCCAAAUUGAAAAUGUAAGUGGAUAAAGUGUAAUGGGGCCGAUCUAUUGUGACCUUUAUUUUACUCUCACUCUCCAGUUAUUUUGGCUUGGAACAAUUAGAGUAAAUAUUGAGUAGUUAUAAUAGUAUCAUUAUGUUUCUUGCAGAUUAAACAUGCUCAUGUACAGAUUUGAUAUCCUUGUUCCCCAAAAGGCUGCUGGCAUUGUUCCCUGCCUAGAAAUUUCCUAAAGAGGUCAUAAUUCUAGGACAUAGGUGAACAGCUAAUGAGAUUGCCCUCCCCACUUCCUUUUUCUGUUUUCAUUAUUUCCUUACCUUUCCCCCAUCUUUCCUGAAUCUGAGUUGUCUCAAUCUGUUAACAUCAUCACUGGUGGUACAAUUUCUUUUUACUUAGUUAAUUUUAUUUUAUAGUGAUGAGAACACAACAUGGGAUAUACUCUUUUAACAAAAAUUUAAGUGCAAAAUACAGUAUUAUUGACUGUAGGUACAAUGUUAUAUUCAUUGGCACAAUCAAGAACCACCAUGUAGUAGAAAAAAUUCUGGAACUAUAGUUAUGAAAGGCUCCUUCUAUAACACAAGUUGUGAUUUUAUGAUUAAGUAUCUGAAUGCCCUGUAGAACAUUGCUUAAUAUGUCUGAUCUUCAGUUUUUUCAUCUUUAUUAAGGGGGUAGAACCAGGUAGUCUCAGGGAUAUCUGAAGUCCAUUUGAGUACCUCCAAAUCCAUGGACACACCUCUUGCAGUUACCAGUGUUUCUAUGGAAGGAUACAGAGGUAUCCUUCAUGAGUUCACAAUAAGAGAGGAAAGAGAGGGAGGGAGAGAGAUCUGAUAUGUAGAGAUCAUUCAGUGAGAGAGAGCAGGAAAGAGAGGAGUUGAUUCUAAUCCAUGACAUGAUAUCUGUGGGGACUUUUAAGAGGAGGUGAAAACAGCAUGAUUUGAACAUAGGGGAAGAUGAUUUCAGAGUAGAGGCUUGACCUUGAAUCUUGAAUCUUUCAGGAAACAAGUUUUAGAGAUAGGCUUCUUGGGUUUAGUUACAAGCUCUACCAUUUAGAAGCUGCUAUAUCUUGGGAAUGCUACUUAAUGUCUCUUGAGCCUCAGUUUCAUCAUAUGUACCAUGGAUACAAAAUAGUAAUUUGUUUCAAUUAAAUGAGUUAACAUAUAUAAAAGUCAUAGAACACUGUGUGGAGGCUAGUCAUGUAUCUGGAUAGAGAAAUGCUAGGAAACUAGGUAAACUUUCCUAUAGAUAGAGUUUCUGUAGGUAUUAUUGAAGAUGGAAGCUAGACCUUCAAAGAGUCAGUUGUAGCUGGAACAUAUGCUGUGGAUAUGUCAUGUGGGUAGAAAGCAAUCAAGAGUCAGACUUUGGUGGUCUUUGCAUCUUUAAUCAAGGGGUUUUUAGGUUUAUGUUGGAGAAGUUGAACAAGUAAUGGUUUUCUCCAAAGCCCAUAAGAGUGCCUAGUUUAUAGUAGAUACUAAAUAUAUAUUCACUAAAUAUAUAUUUCUUGCAUGAAUGAUAUUUGGAACAGUAGAAUGAAGUAGUGUUCAUAUUUGUUUACUAAACAAAUGACUCUGGUAAUUAUAAAAUCUUGCUGAUGAAUUAGGGAAAGAGAGACCACUGAUACAUCAGUGUUAUAGUUCCUACCUUUAAUGUCCCCUGAAAAUCUCAUGUGUUAGGCAAUGUAAUAAUGUUCAGAGGUGAAAAGGUCAUAUUAAGAGAGCUGUAACUUCAUCAGCAAAUUAAUCCAUAAUGAAUUAAUAAUUUGAAUGCACUACUGGGUGAUAACUGUGAGCAGGUGGGCAUGGCUCCAGGAAUGAGGUCAUGGGGGUCGUGCCUUUGGGAACUGUGUCUUCUCCGUGGCUCCUUGCUCUUUAGCUCUCCGUCUGGUUCCUGGAUGCCAUGAGCUCAUCAACUCACCUCACCAUGUCCUUUCACCAUAAUAUUCUGCCUUACCUCAGGCCUAGAGCAAUGGAGUUGGCUGACCAUGGCCUGAAUCUCUGAAACCAUGUGCCCAAAAUAAACUUUUCCUUCUUUAAGUUGUUCUUGUCAGAUAUUUUGGUUGCAGCAACAAUGGAAAAGAAAAAAAGAAAAAAAAAACUGACCAACAGUCUGUCAUUUGGGAGGCUCUCCCAGGAGUCUAGAUGAGGCAUGAUCUGGGUUUACCCCAGGAAUAGUGACGAUGUGAACAAAGAGUGAACAUGGUGGAAUGGCCUUCAAGAGAUCAAAAGUGCAGAAUUGGGUAGGCAUGGAUAGAUGUGAUGGCUGACAUCCAGCCUCAGUAAUGUUAGGGAGGAUGUGCACCAUAGAGUAAUAGAAACUGGUGUGAGGGAGAAGAAAAAAGAAGAUGAAGAUAAGUAGAAGAGAAGAAGUAUAGUCAAAACCACCCAUUUUUGCUCUAAGAUUUAUUUCCAAGGGCCAGUCUCUCCCCUGUCCUUGAGAACUAUUCCAGAAAUCUCCUCCAGGACUUCUCCUCCAGGGUUUCCAUAUUGUUAAGCCAUACUGCCUCUGCUCUUCACAAUGGGGGAGAGACGAAAGAUCUCUGAAAGACUGAGAAAGCCAAAGAUCAUGUGAAAAAGAAGGUAUUUACUGCACAUAAUCACAAGUGGACUUGAGAUUCCUUAAAGGAGUCUUUUGGCAUUAAGUCACAGGGAAUAUUUUAAGAAAAAGUCAUUAUACCUUGUGUUUCACUCUGGAACAGGAUGUUUCUCAAAUUUCCUUACUUUGCAAAGUCAGAUGGCUUUAUAUGCAAAUAUUUUCAAAUGAACCAGAGUCAGGCUGGGUUUCUUCCAAACUAUUGUUUACUUUAGUCAUCCAUGAGUAGUUUUUUGGUUCCUCAGCCUGGAUUGGAUGUUCUUCCAAGGCAUGUAACUGCUUUUCCCUGUACAUUUCCCCAACAUGAUACUUAGGCCAGCAUUCCUGGCAUCAUUCACUGAUAUCUCAUCCAAAUUUGAUUUCCUCCUACCACCUUUAAUUAGGAUCCAAGAACUAGAAUCCAGGGACUAUGAGCAUGAGAACUCAGUAAUGGAUCCAAAAGUUAAUGUUUUCCUGAUCCUUUCGCUGAUCUCUGUUUAUGAUAAUCAACAAAACCAUUGUACAAAAGAUGCCAAUAUGCAUUUUUUCCUUAAUUGCAAACAUACAGAGACUCAGGAAUUUGUUGUAAUGCAAUUCAAGAUCCUAUGAAGUCCCUUUAUUCCCUUGUUUCUACCACCAGUCUGAUUUAAUUGGUGUGUAUGUUAAGUUUUAGCUAGUGGAGUGUGAUGGGAAUAGUCAUGUAUCAUGAUGGUCUUUUCUAUUUUUAGCCUAUAUACAAUAAGGUUUUUAGCAUAUAUAUAAUAAGCUUUUGAUUCUCUGAAUGACUGUAAGAAAAUAAGUAAAGACAAAAUAAGGAGCUUUUAAGCUCAAAAUAUUCCUGAUAACUGGCCUCUUGAUAGCAAGCUGUUCAUAUUCUCCAAUAAAUUUUGAAUUAUGAUUUCUUCACUUACAUAGCCCACACUGACACAUAGUCAGCUGGGUGUAUUUUCUUAUGUAGGUAACAUGAAAUGAACUGAGCCUUCUGACAUCAGCAUCAUGGUAUUCUGAUUCUGUUCCUGAUCAAACCACUAAGGUGUGCAUGACCUGGGGAAACUCCCUGGACAUCUUUUCCAACUCUUUUCUCAUCUGCCCCAUUAUGAAAACAUGAGUCCUUCAACCUCACCUGCCCAUUCUUUUGCAUUUUCCUGUCUUCACCAUUCCUCAAAGAACUAUUUUCAAACUUCUGUAUCAUCUACAGCUUCUAGCCUGAAACCACAACACACUAUUGGGGUGGGCUCAAAUUGAUGCAAUCUCAAGGAAUAAUACAUAUCUAGAAGUUCUGCUGAGGCUUGCUUUGCUCUUCAUUAGUGUUCAAGCUUCAAUGACUCACAAUUAUUCCUGGAUGACCAUCAUCCUCUUCUCCUGCACUUACCCUUAUGUCAUGCUCCCAGGCCCUUGAGUAUUGUGUGUUCUAAGGUUAUGUGGAAUAUGAAUGAUAAAAAGAUGCCAUGUCUGCUGGCAGAGAAAUCCCAGACCAUGUGCUGUGAGAAAAGUUGGGGAAGAUAGUCUCAUACUAUAGACAGCAUGCAGACAAAAACUGAGGUCAUGGGCAUGGGAUGGUUCUGCUCUGAGUAAAUUUGCCAAUGAUUGGAAGAAAUUAAAGAGUAUGUAGAGAUAUGUUGUGAUCUAUAGACAUCACAUAUUUAUUAGUCUGUUUAUUCAUUCAUUCAUUCAUUCUGUAAGAGCCUAACAAUUCCAUCUAGGACUAGGUUAGACAUUCAAAAUGUUGGCUAGAUUCCUUGCCUUCGGGGAACUUAUACUCCAGUGAGAACUAUAGGAAAUUGGAAAAUACAACACAGUACAGUAUAGGUUUUGAAAAAAGUAAAAUGUUUAUACUGGGCUUACUGGAAACUCAUAAGAGAGCAUCUGACCAGAACUUUAUUUCUACGUAGGCUUCUGGAAGGUGACUUCUAAUCUGAAACCUAAAGCAUGAAUGAUCAUUGCACGGUCAAAGAGAAGUGAGAGGUAAUUUUCUUGGCAGUGUGGCUUGACAUAUGCAAAGGUCAGAGAAACAUGGAAAUUCUUCAAAGUUAAAGAAAAUAUAUAGAUUUUCUAACACUUUUCAAGAGUGAGGAAAAUGGUAUAUAGAACUAGGAAUUAUUUUCUAAAGGUUUGAAGCAGAGAAGUGGGGAACCAAGUUAGUAGGGAAGUUAAUUGAUAUAGUUGUUAUUAAUAGUGCAAAAUGUAUAAGAUUUGAACUUGGAUCUGAAUUUAUUCAGAAUCUGGUUAAUUAAGAGCCAAAAGCUAGAUGUCAGAAAUGUUAGAAUGUCUGGUAUAUGUGUAGGCACUAGUAAUAAUGUUGUUUUCUGAAAAUAUUUUGAAUAUUUAUCCAAGAGAAGUUUAGUAUGUUCUGUAGUACAUAAAGUUUCUUAAUUGAAAAAAAUCACAUUUGUGGUAUAGUGUUGAGUGAUUUAACUUCCCAUAAGGAAAAUUCAUUGAAAAACAAGGGAAAGAUCAGAUGAGUAGGGGAGAAAUUGGUGACCUGGAAGCUCAUUCACAAUGAAUCUGUACUAAUGGGUGGAAGAAAAGGUCUUGAGUGGAAAGAAUGUGUAUUCCCCUAGUAUCCUUACAUUUGAGGCCAAGGUUCCAGGGGAACGGUUUAGUAGAAAUGUUUUCUUCUCCUUCAAAUCCCCAGUCUCUGGUAUAAUGAAGAAUCCAUGCACAGACUAGAAAGACUGCUACACUGAAAGCCUAGUGUCCUGGAUCCUGGUUCUCUUGCUACUAUUAAACAAUUGUAUGUUCAUGAAACAUUCCUUAACAUCUCUGAUUUCCUGUUUUCUCUCUCCAAAAUAAAUAAGGUAGAUGUGCCUUGAGUCUCCAGUUUGAACACUGCAAUAUUUGACUGUAUCUAUAGGGUGCCAAGUUGAAAAAAUGACGCAGCCCUGCCCUUUGUUGUCUCAAACAUCCACCUACAUAUAGCCAACUGUCACAUAAUAAUACUAAUGACAAGAGCCCUGUGAGAGUAUAGCUUUCAAUGAUAAAGAGAAGUGAUGAAAGAUUUUCCUUAUGUUGGUGAGGCCACAUAAUUAUGGCUUGAAUGACAUAAUUAUGGAGGACAAAUAGACCAGAUUAAUGGAGCCAAUCUGAGAAAAUGCAAGUCUAAUAUUAGAGACACAGUAGUACAAUGGAUAGGAAAUGUUUUCCUUUGUAAAUUUUUUUAUUAAGUGCAUUAAUUAUGCAUAUCAAUGGGGUUCUGUGUGAUAUUUCAAUACCUGUGUAUAGCACACACUGAUCAAAUCCAGCCUCCCUUAAUCCACUCUCCCUCUCUGCCUUCCUAAUCUCUAUAAUCACCACUCUAUGUUCAGGUCAAUUUAAGAUUCUGCUUUUGAAAAGUAGAAAGAAGCUAGAACUUGAUGCUCCUUAAAUUAUCAACCUAGCAGAUUCCAGGCUUAUCUCGUAGAUAAUUCAGAGUAAGCAAAUAUGUUUAGCCUGGGAAUGAAAGAUGAGUCAGAUACAUGCUUCAGAAAAAUGAAGCUUGAUAUUUAGCCUUAAAGAUAGAAGGAAAUCUUGCCAUCUGUGACAGUGUGAAUGAACCUGGAGAACAUUAUGCUAAAUUAAAUAAGCCAGGCAAAGAAAGACAAAUACUAUGCAUUCUUAUUUAUUUGUGAAAUCGAAAGUAAUCAAACUCAUAGAAGCCAAGAAGGAAAUGAAAGGUGGUGGGGAUGGGAAGAUGUUUGUCACCAUACCCAGCAAGAGUACCGCUUUCCUUUCCCUAACCCAGGAAAUGGACAAACUAUGUUAACAGACAAAGUUGCAUUUAGACAAGAGGAACAAGUAAGUAUACAAGGUGAAAAAUAAACAAUAAUAUGAGUAAAGUUCCUCACUUAAUGAAUGGUUGUUAUUAUAGUGUAAAAAAUACACCUUAUAAAAACACUGACUCAAAUGUCUUUCAGCUUUGCCAAGACUUGAUGUCUUUACAAGAUAUGUUUUAAAUUAAAAUAGCAAGAGCUUAUGUUUUGUAACUCCUCUCCCCAGGUAAUGUUACUCAUUUAAAUGUUUCUUCUAAAGACUAAAUGUUUUCCCUGUUUACAAAGAAAAAUAAAAACUAAGCCUUGAAAUGAUAUAAAAGUAAAUUCCACUUUAUGGUAUACGUGAGAAUCUCAUCUGAGAAAAGGAUUUCAGCAUGAACUGGAGAACUCAUGUGAAGUUUGGGAAGAAGUUUUUCCAGAAACAGGCCUUUCUGAAAAGAAUCAUAAGCCAAAUGCUAGAAUGAGUGAGGGACAUGUAGGGAACUGACAAGUACAAAUAAUGCUAUUCUGUCUCAUGAAAAAAGUCAAAUGUUCAUCAGAGAUUCGAGCGUAUUCUGUAGUCAAUAGAUAUUGACUAAAAGCUUCUGAGUCGUGAAUGGUAUGGAUCUGUUUCUGUAAAUAUCACUGGGUAGCAGUAUAAAGGAUUGAAUGAAGGUUGGGAUCAUUCAUCAGGAGAUGCCAAUAGACCAGAAAGUCUGAAUCAUUGAAAGGAUGCCUGGAAUUAGGACUCUGAUUUUUGAGAAAGUAAACUUAGAGUUUGUCCAUUUCCUGGGUUAGAGAAAGGGAUAUAUCACCAUAUCCCUUGCUGGAUAUGAUGGUAUAUAUAUGAAUAGGCAGUCUCUACCCUGCUGCUUCAGCUUAUAGUGCUAGGGACCUCUUGUUACUGGAUGCUGUCUUCUGUGAGCCGUCACCACCUAAUCCCAGAAAAGUCUCUGUCCCCAAGUCUUCCAUUUGUUCUUCACCCUUCCCUUAAAGGUUUUUCUGAAGAUUUCCUCUUAACCUGAGCUUCCACAUCCUGAUUGAUAUGCACUCAGAGACCCAAUCUGACCCUUCUUAUUAAAGUCAAUUACCCUAAUGUGUCCUUCCCACACUCUGUAAAACUCAAUAUCACCCAUCCCUGUUAUUUUUUUUUCAUGCUUUUAGCAAUGUUUGAAAUAAUCUUAUUUUUAUACUCAGGUAUUCCACUAGAGGGUAUUAUGCCACUUAACACAAAUUACCAUGAAGUGAAUGUUGUAGGAGGUACAUCAUAUCUUUACUGAACUCUGUAGACUUGUUGAAGACCCUCUUUAGAGAUGGAAGUGACAGCAUGAAGAAAAGUGUGAUCCUCACAGGUACAGGGUAUGAUGGAGAUAUAGAUCCAUAGGUAGCCAGGCAUAUGCUGAGCACAGAGAAGAUUACAGAAUGUACUAGGAGAUGUGCUCUAUAGUUCACUCAAGGACAUACAGAAUGUCCAUUUAGGCAAGUAUCCCUCCAUUUAUUACCUCUAACUUAUGCAUAACUUAUGCAUCAGCAGAAGGGUGAUGAAUUCAUUGGCUAAAGGUUAUACCUGGAUAGAUUGGAGAGUGGACUAGAACAAGGCAAAAGCCUAGAUGAGACAAUAUUGGUUUUGUUGGAUGGUGUUAACUAAGGUGUUAUCUCUGGGAUCUGUCUGCUGGUUGCUUGUAAUGUUCUCCAGGAAGAGGUAAGACAUAUUUUGAGUAUAAUCUGGGGCAUUAACCAGGGGAGGCUCACAGGAAGAGGAAAAGAUGUGGAACAAUGAGGGGGAAAAUACCCAACUUCUAUGGCUGUAAAGUUCAGGCAGGUAUGUCUAGGUGGUCAUUAUUAAAGGAAGAAGGUGACAGUUUUAAACAUCAAAAUGGAGUCUCCAGUGAGAACACAGGGUUUAGUAAACUGAUUUGCAACCUGGGAGGUAUGCUCAGAUUUCAGCACAAGUUAGAAUAACAAAAAUGUAGGUGAGUGAAUGUAAUUUCAAGUUGGAGCUGAUAGCCUGAGAUUUGUAGGACUUUAUUUGGGAAAAGUUACCCAUGUGAUGAGUGUUCAUAGGGUUAAAGUAUAUAUAAAAGACUUCGGCUGCUGGGAAGAUGGAGUAGGCAUACUUUUCCCUAUUCCUCCUGCUGAGUACAACAAAAGCAACUACCCUAGAUGUAAUGUAUAAAAUAAGCAAAAGCAGAGAAUAAGGCACCUCUACCCUUACUUCUCCCCUCUAGAGUGAAGUCAUAGGAUUACUGGAGGAUAAGAACUUCAAUUAUAGCCCAGUGAUAAGGAGCCACCCCCAGUGUUAUCAUAUGCUAUGAUUGGAGGUAGUAACAAGGUACAAUUAUGCCCUCCUGCCUAGAAGAUUUCAGAGGAGGCCAAGUGAGGAGAUAUAACUCCCAUUCCCUCCCCACAGAAGUCAACAGAGUCCAAAUGGGAACCUGGAUUUCUACUCAUACCUGCAAGGAACAAGAGUUGCCAUUCUCCUUUUUCCUGCAGAAGUGGUAUCAGAGGAACCAAGCUAAAAUAGAAGGUGCGGAUACUAGCCAAAGCCUCAUAACAUAAUAUCCAAACUGUACAAGUUUUGAUUGAUUAUAACUCAUUAUAUCAAGAACCAGGAAGAUCUCAAACUGAAAGGAAAAAAAAAAGACAAUAGAUAGAUCCCAUCACUGAAAUGAGAGAUAUUUAAAUUACCUGACAAAGAUUUUAAAGCAGACAUGAUAAAAAUGUUUCAAUAAGCAAUUAUAAACAUUCUUCAGGCACGGAAAAUAGAAAGUAUCAGCAAUGACAUCAAAGAUAUAAAAAAAACAAAAUGCAAAUUUUAGAAUUGAAAAAUAUAGUAGCCAGAAUUAAAAAGAUGGACUCAACAGCAGACCCGAAGGGACAAAGGAAAGAAUGAGUGAACUGGAAAACUUAACAAUAGAAAUUAAUAAAUUUGAAAAAGCAGAAAAUAAAUUUUAAAAAUUAACCUCCAGGACUACGGCAAAAUAUCUAAUAUUCAUUUCAUCAAAGGCUCAGGAGAAGAGACAAGAAGUGUGGCUGAAAAAGUAUUCUAAGAAGAGUAGGAAACUUUCCAAAUUUAUCAAGGAACAUAUAGGUUCAAAAGGUUGAACCCUAAACAGGAUAAAACAAAACAGUUCACACCAAAACACAUCACAGGGGGCUGAGGAUGUGGCUCAAGCGGUAGCGUGCUCGCCUGGCAUGCAUACGGCCUGGGUUUGAUCCUCAGCACCACAUACAAACAAAGAUGUUGUGUCCCCCGAAAACUAAAAAAUAAAUAUUAAAAAUUCUCUCUCUCUCUCUCUCUCUCUCUCCCUCUCUCUCUCUCCCUCCCUCCCUCCCUCCCUCCUCUAUCUUUAAAAAAAGUAUCAAAACACAUCACAGUCAAACUUCUGAAAAUGAAAGAUAAAAAAUUGUUGAAAGCAAUGACAUCAAUAGCACAGUCCACAAGGGAAAUAACUGAUGUUAGACUUCAUCAGAAUUAAAAAAAUUUAAAUCAGCAUACUAUAGUGAUAAGGCCACACAAAUGUUUAUAACAGCUCAAUUCACAAUAGCUAAUAUAUGGAGCCAACCUAGGUGCCCUUCAACAGAUGAAUGCAUAAAGAAAAUGUGUUAUAUAUACACAAUGGAAUAUUACUCAGUCAUAAAGAAGAAUGAUUUUUGUACAUUCACUGGUAAAUGGAUGAAUCUAGAGACUAAAGUAUCAUGCUAAGUGAAAUAAGGCAACCCCCAAAACCAAAGAUAUGGAUGCUAACCCACAACAAGGGUGAGGGGAAUAGAAGUUCUGUGGAUUAGACAAAGGAGAAUGAAGGAAAGGCAGCAUGGAUAGGAAUAGAAAAUAUAGUGGAAUGAAUCAGACAUAACUUUCCUAUGUUCAUAUAUGAAUACACCACCAGUGAAACUCCACCUGAUAUACAACCACAAGAAUGGGAUCCUAAUUAGAAUAAGUUAUACUCCAUGUAUGUAUGUCAAAAUAUACUAUACUGUCAAAUAUAACUAAAAGAAACAAAAAUUUGGAAAAAAAAAUAAAAAUUUGUGUUUAACAAAAGACCCUAUAGAAAGAACAAAAGGUACAUAUCUCACAAAGGAAUAAUAUCUAGACUAUAUGAUAAAUUUUCAAUGGGCUAGGGGUGUGGUUCAGUGACAGAGCACAUGCCUAGAAUGCAUGAGGCCUUAAGUUCCAUCCCCAACCCUGCAAUAAACAAACUCUCAAGACUCAAUAGUUUAAAAUACUGAUGAAAAAUGGGUAAAAAACACAAAGAGAUACUUUAUAGAAGAGGGUAUACAAUGGCAAAUAAACGUGAAAAGAUUUAGCAUCAUUAGUCAUUUGGUAAAUGCAAAUUGAAGCCAUAAUGGAAUAUCACUAUGCAUGUAUCAGAAGAGCUAAAAUUUUAAAAAAAUAUGACAACACCAAAUGCUAGCAAGGAUGGGAAGACUCUGUAACACUCAUAUAUUGUUAAUGGGAAUAUAAAAUGAUUUAUACAACAUGCAAAACAGUUUGUAAAAUUCUUAAAGUACUAAAUAUGAAACUUCUGUAUGACCCAGUAAGUAUAAUCUUGGGGAUUUGUCCCAGAGAAAAGAAAACUUAUGUUCCCACAAAAACCUGGGCAUGAAUGUUUGUCCCAGCUUUAUUUGUUGUAACCCCAAAUUGAAAACAAUCCAUAUCACCUUCAAAAGUUGUAUGGUUAAACUGUGGUACAUCCACACCACAAUAUAAAAAGGAAUGAAUGGUUGAUACAUCACCUAAAUGAAUAUCAGACAAUUAUGCUGAAUGAAAUGAUCCAAAUCUCAAAGUUACUCAGUAUAUUAUUCUAUUUAUAUAACAUUCCUAAAGUGACAAAAUUAUGGAAAUGGAGAAGAGAUUAGUUGUUGCCAGGAAUUAAGGAGGGAAUGGAAGCAGGAGAGAAUUGGGUGUUACUAUAAAAGAACAAUAGGAAAUAUACCUAUAGUGAUGGAAAUAUUCUGCACUUCACUGUAUCAGUGUCAACAUCCUGGUUGUGAUAUCAUACCAUAGUUGUUUUGCAAGCUGUUACCAUGGUACAAAACUGGGUAAAGGGUAUAUAGAACAUCUCUGUAUUGCAUCUUACAACUGUGUGUUACAAUAAUUAAUUAAACUGCAAAUUUUAAUUUAAAACGUGUAACAGUCCCUGCUAACUACUUCUUUUUUCCAAAUACCACUUUGCCAAUGUCCUGCAACACAUUUCUAGUUAGGAGCUAAUGGAUUGAUGAGUCUUCUUUAUAAUGUUGAAGAUGGAAUAUAUAUAUAUAUAUAUAUAUAUAUAUAUAUAUAUAUAUAUAUAUAUGUUGUAGAUGUACAUAAUAGCUUUAAUUUAUUUAUUUAUUUUUAUGUGAUGCUGAGGAUCAAACCCAGUGCCCCACAGGCACGAGGCAAGCACUCUGUCACUGAGCCACAAUCCUAAUCCCAAGAAGAUGGACUUUUGAGAAACCUAGAAAGUAGAAUGGGAAAGCUAGUUAGGAGACUUCUUUAUUUUCUGUGAGUGGCCUGGUAGAGGUAGAAUAUUCACAGGUGGAAUGCACAUAUGUGGGCAUGCAUGCAUGUGUUCAAUGUGUGUGUGUGUGUGUGUGUGUGUGUGUGUAAGAGAGAGCAUCUUCAAUAACUAGGAGGGAAUAACCCAGGAUGAAGAAGAGAGGGAGGAAAACCCUCUGCCAAGAUUUACAAUACUUAUUAGAAAUCUUUCCAUUCUCUCUUUAAGCCCAAUCUCAGAUGUUUCCUGCGUAAGUCUGCUUGUAUUAUUUUUUAGGCAACACUGCCACUAGUGUCAAAAUUGUUAUACUGCACCUUGAAUUACAUGUUGUUGGCCUGGAGACAGCAACAAGAUACUGCCCAGGUGCAGACUGACUGGGACUGGAACAGAUCACCUCAGGCCUAGCUACAUCUUCUUUUGAAUUGCGACAAAUGCAAAGAAUGAGGUUUCUGGACCUCAUCAUGGCUGCUGUGGUGUUCAGGAAACAGCUGACUCUACUCAAAAUUGUUGCAGAGACCCUUUUAAAUAAUGAGGUAGAGCUGCAGAACUAUGUUCAGUUCUGGGUUUUGAAGGAUUUUUUAAUUUUAUUUUUUAGUUGAAGUUGGACACAAUACCUUUGUUUUAUUUAUUUAUUUUUAUGUGGUACUGAAGCUCAAACCCAGAGCCUUGCCUGCGCUAGGCAAGCGUUCUACCUCUGAGCCACAACCCCAGCCCCAGUUUUGAAAGAUUUUGAGGGGUCUUCAUGUUGGAUAUUUUGGGGGCUCUCCCCAUGCUCCCAAAUCAUGAGGGCACCAGAAGUGGAGAUGGGAAUGGUAGUAAUAUAGCCCGGUAGUACAAUUAAAGUCCCCACCAUUGGGGGUGCUGAUCAGGCUGUGGUUUGUAAGCAGUCCUGGUUGUAUGUCAGAAUCCGUGAGAAGAGUGCAUUAUGAGAUGUUGGAUAUCAGAUGUAUAGACAUAAGCAGUUUCUGUUGUGAAGCUAUCUGGUAUAGUAACUACCCUCUAAUUUGUUGUCAUGGAUGCUAUAAGGAAUGGACGAAGAAGGUAAAUUUUCAUACUGAACUCUUCCAUGUACAAGGUCUUCUCAGGUGCAGAACUGUCAUUUUUUUUCUGGAACAAUGCCCUCAAUGCAAGACAAAGUGGAAUGGAGUAUGUAUCCCCCAUGUGUGUUAGAAAUGUAGCACUCCCCCCCCCCCCCCCCCCCCCCCCCCGCCCCGACCACCACCAAGUUUGGGAAGGGGCAGGAGCCAGGGAAAGGUAUCACAUUCAAUCUUAUGUUUGUAAAGGAGUGUCUAACUUGUAUCUCCAGGAAGACUGAAACUUCCUGUCAGGCAGGGAUAUGCUUUCUCCUCUUCCUUUAUUCUUAGCAAUAUCUAGCGCAACCCCUACUCUGUCAUCCAAGUCUUGCCGCUUCCCACGUUCUUAUCUUUGAUCUCUAAAGACAUUAACAGAAGCAAUAACCCAACAUGCAGAGGGGCGGGAGGCAAAUACUCCACACCAGAAAUUGUUUUGAAAUCCUUUUAUUCUCUCUUAGAGUUAAAGCCCAAUUUUAGAUAUUUCCUGAAUAAUUCUGGCCCUUGUGAUUAUUUGUUAGGCAACACUGUCUCUAGCAUCAGAGAUAUUGCACUGUACCUUGAAUUAUGUGUUGGUGGCCUGGAGGCAGCUAGAUACCUGUCAGGUGAGCCCCUGCACAUUGCUGGGAUAAAUAUACAACUUCUAUGUGCCAGUGCCUGGAGAAAAAAAAGGUAAGAAUCUAUACAAAUGCCACAGAAAGCACUAAAGCUCAGAAGAAUCAUCUCUGAAAUCAUAGUAAAAGAGAGGGCAUGUUAAUCGUAGCAAUUGUAGGAGUUUAGUGGGAGUAAGAUAAUUUCCAACCAGAGGAUCCAUCAUGUGACUUUUUAAUUUAUUUUUUCAUAUUUUUAGUGGUGCACCAAAGUUGUACAUAAUGGUAGGAAUCAUUACAUAUAUUUUUAAAUAUUUUUAUUGUUUACGGACCUUUAUUUUAUUUACUUAUUUAUAUGUGGUGCUGAGAGUCAAACCCAAUGCCUUACAGGUGCUAGGUGAGCACUCUACCACUGAGCCACAACCCCAGCCCCUCAUUAUAUAUUCUUACAUGCACACAAAAUAACAAUACAUUUUGAUCAAUAUUCUAUCAUGCGAUUUUGAGAGACAGAGGUAGCAGUCAUUCUGGAUGUAUGGUGUGGAACUGUGUUUUGUGCUGGAAACAGUAGGUAGGAAUCAGACCUGGUAUAUUUAGAAGAGAUUUUUUUUUUUCUGCCUUAUCACCUGGUCAAAGGCUUGUGGGAACACAACAAAAGAUGCCCCAGAUCUGUGGUUUUAAAAUAUCAGUCCAAGAACUAUGUAAUUUAAAAGGUGCACUGGAGGGCAUAAGAGGUGUUGUUUAGGUGGAGUGCUUUUUAGCAUUCUAGGUAACUCAUGAUAAUUGGAAAUAUGAACGAAUAUAUGUGAGACAUUACAGAAUUCUGAUGUACAUGAUUUGUUUAUUGGAUUGUGGGUUGUUGAUCGAGUGGUUUGGUGAUUGAUGCUGAAGGAUGAUGUUGCCAUUAACAGGAAGGGGGAUGGUGGAGGACAAGUGCAGGAGAUGCCAUACUGUAUUUUACAAUAAUCUUUUAUUGAACAUGAAAAAAAUUGAGGUUUAUUCCAUGAACUUCCUACAUUGUUUCCAGCCAUGUACUCAUUUUGUUAGAUGGCAUUGCCACAAUAAUAUUUGAGCUAAGGCAAAAAGAUGGAGGGCAGACCCUUUAUGAAUACUUACUGACAGAGAGAGAGAGAGAGAGAGAGAGAGAGAGAGCGCGAGUGUGCGCCUAGUCAUGGGCAGGCACAAACAGACUCUCAGGAUAAUGAUAGCUAUUUUAGGGCUGGGGAUGUGGCUCAAGCGGUAGCGCGCUCGCCUGGCAUGCAUGCGGUCCAGGUUCGAUCCUCAGCACCACAUACAAACAAAGAUGUUGUGUCUGCCGAAAACUAAAAAAAUAAAUAUUAAAAUUCUCUCUCUCUCUCUCAAAAAAAAAUGAUAGCUAUUUUAUAUCUGGGCCCAUAGUCAAGUGUCCUCUAGCUACUUGUGUGCUGAGAAUAUUGGGAGAAGACUAUUCCCAUUCAUUCUUCUAGGACAAUAUGUAUAAUAGGCCACAAGGUAACAAUUAUAUAAAUUACAACAAAAAAUUUCAUGGAGAUACACCUCAAACUUACCUGUGUAAUUUAACUCAUAUUAGUUUGCCUUACUGGUUCUCUUUAUGCCUUUGAGAAUAGGCCUUUCCAGGGGGCUGGGGUUGUUGCUCACUGGUAGAGCACUUGCCUAGCAUGUGUGAGGCCCUGGGUUCAAUCCUCAGCACUACAUAAAAAUAAAUAAAUAAAAUAAAGAUAUUGUAUUCAUCUACAACUACAAAAAAUGUUUUAAAAAUAAUAGGCCUUUCCAAUUAUCAAGACUAUAAGUAACAAUAAAUAUUGGCAAGGAUGUGAAGAAAUGGGUACACUCAUACAUUGCUGGUGGGACUGCAAAUUGGUGCAACCACUCUGGAAAGCAGUAUAGAUUACUCAGAAAAUGUGGAAUGGAACCACCAUUUGACUCAGUUUCCGCCUCCUUGGCAUAUACAUAAAGGACUUAUUUUAAUAAUAGCAUUCUAUAAUGACACAAUCACAUCAAUAUUAGAGUGAAAGGGACAGUCUGAACUGGGUUUUUGAAUAAUGACUAGGUUCCCUUCAACAGAUGAAUGGAUAAAGAAAAUGUGGUAUAUAUACACAAUGGAAUAUUACUUAGCCAUAAAGAAGAAUGAAAUUAUGGCAUUUGCCAGUAAAUGGGUGGAUCUAGAGACUAUCAUGCUCAGUGAAAUAAGCCAAUCCCAAAAAACCAAAGGCUAAAUGUUCUCUCUGAUAUAUGAAUGCUAACUCACAAUAAGCCAGGGCGUGGGGUGGAGGGAAGAAUAGAAGUUUGCUCAUUAAGACAUAUGGAAAUGAAGGGAAUGGAGGGAGAUAGGAAUAGUAAAGACAGUAGAAUGAAUUUGACAUAACUUUUCCAUAUUCUUAUAUGAAUACACGACCAGUAUAACUCCACAUCAUGUACAAGUACAAAAAUGGGAAGUUAUACUCCAUGUAUGUGUGGUAUGUCAAAAUAUAUUCCACUGUCAUGUAUAACUAAAAAGAACAAAUUUUAAAAAUAAGCCUUUUGCCGAGUGUGAUGGCACAUGUCUGCAAUCCCAGUGGCUUGGGAGGCUGAGGCAGGAGGAUCUUCAGUUCAAAGCCAGCAUCAGCAACUUAGUGAGGCCCCAAGCAACUCAGUGAGAUCCUGUCUCUAAAUAAAAUACAAAAAAGGGCUGGGGAUGUGGCUCAGUGGUUAAGUGACCCUGAGUUCAAUCCCUGGUAACUCACCCCACCAAAAUAGACCUUUCUUUUGUAUUACUUUCUUCCCACUCACAUAUGUACAUGGGUACAAAAAUCUCUGAGUUAGGGCAUACUGCCAACUUACUUAACUUCACAAUUCCUCAUUUUUACCUUUUCCUGUAAGAGAAACAGUUGAAUAAAAUUUUAACUUCUAGGACAAGAUACAUUGAAUCUACUCCUGGUUUCACCAUUAUACAAUAUGGGACCUAAAAAGACUACCUAGAUGUUUUUCUUAGCUCUUAUCAAUUAUGGGAGAACAAAAGGACUUUAAAUGAUCUAAAUUAUCCUAUAUUUUCCUCAGGACUUCUCUCACUAUUUCCCUGAGAAGUUCUUUAUGUUUCCCAUUGUCUAUAAACUUUCUGGCCUGUGACAACAGCCCCAUUCUUUUUGUGGGGGCUAGAACGCCUGUGACCAGGUUUUUAGAGUGUACAUUAGGUAACAGGUUGUUUUUCUUCCUUUCAUUUCCUCCCAAAGCUUAUUCCUUCAUUCUAACCUGUAUGAUCUACAGUUGUUUAUGGGAUUGCUAUUGUCCCUCAUCACCCAUUCAUGUCAGGCUUCCAGGCUUCUCGAUGUAUAUGCUCUGGGCCCUGAAUAAUAAUGGAUGAGAAGGAUAUACUGUGCCUGCAGACUGGAGGAGAAGAGGAACCUAGACAGUGUACUCUGGAGAAAGCUGGGAAAGAUCAUCCCAUAGGUUAUACACAACAUGAGGAGGAAAGUUAGAGCCAAGGCAAGAGCAGAGGUUAUUUUUUAAGAUAUCUAAUAAUUUAGGAUCACUAGUGCCUAGAUUGUGGGAAUAGAUAAUGGUCUACAGAGAAGGGCUCUAUUCAUUAAUAAUUUAGUAUGUUUGUAUCAUUUGUUCAUUCUGCAGUGCUUUUUUAGAUACUGUUGUUUACAAGCAAGAAAGAGUCUCUGAGUUCAAGGAUACUAACUUGUGAGGAGAGAGAAUUUUAAAAAUUCAGCAUAUAGUGACCUACUAAUUCUAAUAAUAUUAAAUAAUAUUUACUAAAUGCUAUAUGUGGUUCCAAGAACUGUUUUAAGUACUUUGUAAAGAUUUGCUCAUUUUAUACUCAUCACAAACCCUAUCAUUUAGUAUUGUUAUUAUCCCUAUUUUGUAGGUUAUAAAAUAGAGGCAUUGAGAAGUUAGGUAACCUACCCAAAUUCACAUACCAUUUUACUGGAUUAGUGUGGUGGGCCACACAAGGUCAGCUUAUUAGAUGGGCUUACAUUUUUAAUGAAGGAAUUCUGGAGAAAAUUAAAUUUGAAAUGUAAUUUAAAGGGUGAGGAGGAAAUACUAGGCUAAUAGGGUGAGAGAUAGUGUUUAAGACUGAGUGAUGGGCAUGUGUACAAAAGCAUGGAAAGAAUUGGAAAAUCUGCACUUUGGGUAUGGUAUUUGGCAGAGGGAUACUAGUGGCCUGGACACUUGAGGAUUUGGGAUUUUAUGUAGAAACUCAAGGCUAUUGUUCAUCAGGAGGUCACAGAAGGUUAGUCUGAUUGAAUCAUAUAAUCAGACUGUGGUCAACCAAGCUGUGGUUAUUUAUUUGAGAGGAGCUUUUUUUUUUUUUAAAUAGAGCUUGUGUAGACCUGGGGUUAUGUGAAUGUGGAGUGCUGGAACAAUUAGUAGAAAGAACUCAGGGAGAAAAACAGGGGAAAAAUAAAUGCAUAUUACAGUAAUAUUUCUUUGCAAGGACCUCCCCCUCCACUAGGGCCCAAUUCCAGAACAUUAUUUGAGUCCAAAAAUUAGGCAACUCCUAAUCCACUGUCUCUGUGGUCAAAUUGUACCCAGAAAUAUUUGUUGAAGUUUCAGGAAGGAGAUGUCUGAUAUGUAUGAUCCAAUUUGUAGACCUCUGGGGGUGAAAUUACUAUACAUAUUUAUAUUUCAGGCCCUUGUGGUGGCUACUGUUUCAGGUAAGAAAUGGUGUGACUGCGACAUUUUUCUCUUCUUGAACAAGUUGGAGACAUCACAUGGAGACCUGUUAUAAGUAGGAUGUAAAUUUAUUUGAACAUGGUUAGAGGUAUGACUGCUGAAAGAACUGCUUGGUGAUGGGAGUCCCCCAGACUCUUUGAACCCUGAAGACUCCUUGUAGGGGACCACAAGUAACAUCUAGAGGUUGUUGGGGAUCAUGGAAACAGAAGUCAACAAGAGGCCAUCAUGGAAGUCUUUCCUCUGAAACCUAACAGACUAUAGAUUCCAUUCCUUGAGUCUGGCUUUCUAAAUACCUGUAAGAUGUUUCCACUUCUCUUUAACUCUCUGCACGUGUAAGAAGUAAAGACAGUUAUGUUCUCUUCUACAGCCUUGUCUUCCUAUCAGUUUAUUUUACUGCUGCGAGAGUGAUCUCUCUGAGAGCCAAAUAAGAUUGUCAACUCCUUGCCUGCCAAUCUCCUUAAUAGGAUGAGAUGGCUCUUCCUAAUCUGCUCAAUUUUCGGUCUCUCACCAUUUUUCCUUCUCCCUCUUUUUAGAUACACUUAACACUUAUACUUCCCCGCAAUGGACUACACUCUGUUGUUACCUCCAGGCCUAUUGUGUUUUUUCUUCCAGGAAAACUCAGACCUCCCUGAACUGCUUGAUACUUUUCCUGAAGAACAGAACAAGACCAGAAGGAGUGAAUGGUGAGUAUGACUGAAUUUGAAAGCAGGUAAAUUUGCUAUAAAGUUGCUGCAAUAGACCCAAACAGUGGGUUUCAGGCCUUAACUAGAACAGUGAUCAUAUGAAUAUUAAAGAAGGGCUCACGGGGCUGCAGUUGUGGCUCAGUGGAAGAGGGCUUGCCUCAUAUGGGUGAGGCACUGGGUUCAAUUCUCAGCACAUAUAAAUAAAUAAAAUAAAGAUCCAACAACUAAAAAUAUUUAAAAGAAAGAAAGACUCACCUCACGGAUACAACAGAGAUAAAAUCUAUAGAAGUCACAUUAUUUGUAUAUACACUCUUCAGUAAUCCCGACUCUUUCCCCUGACUGUAAUUCCAGGUUUACUGUGCCUAGGGACAGGACAUGUAGACUUACUGUAAACCCAUCUCAAUGAAAUUCAGAAAUCCAUCAUCUCUCCCUGUUUGAGUCCAUAGAUGGUGUGCACAGAGAAAUCCACUCAGGCUUUUCUAGUACCAGUCAAUCUGAAUUUCUGAGCUAAUUGUUUCUUAAUAGUAACUACUUAGAGAGACCCUGAUUUUCCAUUUUUUCCCAUUUUAUUGUAACAGAUACAAUGAUGGUUUAUCUUUUAAGGCAGUUGUUCUUAACUUUGCUGUAUGUUGGAAUUCACCCACAGAUCUUCAGAAAAUACUAAUGUCUGUCCUCCACCUCAGACAUUAUGAUUUAAUAGAUAUGUGGUGUGACAUGAGUAUGAGAGCUUUUUACAGCUCUCAGGUUAAAAUAUGCAUAAAAGUUUGAAAACUACUGCUUUAAGGACUUCUGCAUAAUCAGGACUGGUAGUAGAGCUUUGAGUGGAAGUGUAUUCUGGGAGAAGAGCAGAGCUGUCUCUUUGACAGACUAAUGUGUUAUUCAUGGCACAUUCUCUGUGAACGAUCCAGAGCAAGGUUUCCUGAAGGAAUAUUGUGCACCUCAUCACUGUAAGACAUUGGAUGUCAUGAGUAAAUAGAGAUUUAUAUGAAGGGAAAUGCCAGAUGAUCAAAUGUAUAUUUUAAAGUCUUGAAUCAGUAUUGGAGAUGGACUGAAGUAAGAGGUGGAACAAAGAGAAAAGAUGAGAUAAUUCUUUCUAAUCUGAUAAAAGAUUAUUGAAAUAGUCUGACCAAGGGUGAGGAUGUGGGAGUGUGAAUAAGCAAAAAAGGUUGGAUUAUUUGGCAAACCCUGUCUUCAUGUCACUCAUUCAUCUAUCUGCAAAGGUGGCAAAGGUAGAGAAAAGAGAUGUGACAAUCAAGUGAUAAGUUGAACCUUCCCCAGAUCUGCUUAGCACAGGUAGUCAGGAAGGAGGAAAGGCAGAAAGUACUAAAGAGAGAAGAUGUUGAAGUUGUCUUAAUGAGGAGUUACUGAUCUAGUCAUGACCUGUGUGAGUAGCAGCACUUGCUCCCCGAAAUACAGUGAAGAGAUGGUUAGUGAUCCCUGAAUAGGCCUGGCAUAGGAAGAGAAGCAGAAGCUUCUGUUCCCCCAAACCAAGAACUCUACUGCAACUUCUCUUGAUAGAUCUUUCUGUAGCCAGAGUGACCUGUCCAAGUGUAGAAAUAGCCAUGAAUCAUGCUCUUUCUUGAAAUGACUUCCCAUUACCCUUGUGGAGGAUGAAUGAAUUCACCACACAUCAAAUUGGCUGACAAAGCUCUUAGAAAGAUGGCUUCUUUUCUCUAACCUUUUUCUCUGGCUAUGAGACCCCUGAUGAUUUUCUCCAAAGCCAUUGGAGUUUCUUAUUUGCUUCCUGUCACCCUCUGUGCCUACUUUUAUCAUAGAACUUAGAUUAAGUACCUGAAUAACCUGGUGACUCUAAUCUCUAUAAUGCACCUUAAGAGCAAUGACAAUGUCUCAUUAGCUAUUAUAUUCUCAGAUUGUCAGAUGUAAGGUCUGACAAAUUGUACACACAAUAAAUAAAUAAAUGAAUAAAUUGGUGAGUUUAUUAACUUAGGUAUUUUGUUAUAGGAAUGGAAAACAAACUAACAUAAUAGCUGAUGGAUUGGCAGCUCAGUCUCUGAACCCAAACUCCCAGUUCAUCAUUUAAUAGCUGUAUAUCCUUGGUCAAUCUUAUUAAUAUCCCUGUACUUUAGUUUUAUCAUGUGUAAAAUGGAGGAAAUAAUUGCACAUAUCUGUGGGGUUGUUAGGAUGAUUAGAAGAGUUAAUAUUUUUAAAAGUACUUAAAACAGCAUCUGAUAUAUGAUAAAUGCAUAUACAUGUUUGUUUUCAAAAACAGACUAAUAACUUUGGAGUUACAGUACCUUUUUUGUACUAGGUCUUAAACCCAGGGCCUUAUGCAUUUAUCCCUAGCCCUUUUGAUUUUUUUAAAUUUUAUUUAUUCAAUUUGCCCAGGAUAGCUUCAAAUUUGAGAUCCUCUGAUCUUAGGCUCCCAAAUAGCUAGAAUUAUAGACAUGUGCCACCAUGCCCAGCUGGAAUCAUAGCUCUACACUAUGAAAUUUUAAAGUGAUGAUGAUGUAGGUAAAUGGUCAAAGAAGCUAAGUCUUUGUAAAUGGAGAGGAAGGGUAAGGAAGGAAAAGAGAAUAUGCACCUGUACACAGGGCUAGGUGUAAGGCGUGGUGAUGAAAAACAUCUGGAUGAUGUCCUUAAUAUCGACCAUUUCCAGUGAAUGUUAUUUCCAUUCAUCCCUUGUGGAAAAUCACAACCAGGAAAGAGUCCUUCUUAUUACCUCCGUUUUCUUUAUAUCCAUAUGCAGUGCCUAUUGUGUCCCUAAGAGCUAUUUGAAGUUUCCAGAACACUGCAAAAAUCAAUAAGGCCAUGACCCUGCAAUCAGAGUUAGUUAGGUGGUAAAUACACCAGGGUUUUAUGCAGAUAAUUUCAGGAGCUUGUUUGAUGUGGCUUAACCUGAGAGGGAGAUGAUAGAGCAAGAGGAGGUUAAUAUCCUAGUACCUAAUCCAUAUAGGUAAAACUACCCAUAGAUAGGUAUGAAGGAUUUGGACAUGAAGUGGGGCAUACUGGCAGGAAUAAAUAAGAAGAGCCAAGCUUGGUGCAGUGGUACAUGCCUAUGAUCCCAGCAGCUUGAGAGGCUGAGACAGGAGAACUGUGAGUUCAAAGCCAGCCUCAGCAACUUAGUGAAGCCCUAAGCAACUCAGCAAGACUUUGCCUCUAAAUAAAAUAUUAAAAAGGGCUGUGGAUGUGGCUCAGUGGUUAAGAACCCCUGGGUUCAAUUCCUGGUACAAAAAAAAAAAAAAAAAAAGAAGGGCCAGAUUUUUAAAAUAGAAGCCCAGUAGUUGUGUGAGCUUAUGGGAUUUGACAGUUUUGAUGUUUUUAAGGAUAUGUGCAUAAGGGAAUCUUCUGACUGAAUGAGGGGAUGGUUAGAUCAUUAACAGAGAGAGGGACUUGGUACUGAGAGGAAAUUUCCACAAAUCUCUGAGGAUUAUCCAUCCAGGAAGUCUAUUUAGGCUACCUUACCCCUAGUGUCUGCAUAGUAGAAACUACCUCUUCUAGUCUCUGCUGAAGAUCAUGUAAUUGGGGUUUCAUACAAUAUGACUGAAGGUGUUCUAUGGGAGUGGUAUCCUCCCAAAUAGACACUGUCAGGAAAUAGAGCCAGUUGACUACAUGCACAGGUUACUUCUCAGAGGUAAGAACAAGUAUACAGAGGUCUAUGAUCAAUGCCCUGUGGGAGAUGCUUCGUGCAGCAGACAACCAGAAAGUCCUCAGAAGUACAGUCCAUGAAAUGUCAUGUUAAGCAGAUCCAUUUUAUAUAAAGAUCAUAUGAAUGUAUCAAUUUUUCCUUCUUUAUCUGUUUUAGAAUAAGUGAUCAUCAAGACUAGCUUUAAGAAAGACAUUGGCAAAGUUUGCUCAAUAAGAGUUCAUGAGGGACAGCCUCAGUGCCUCUUUUUCUUGUAAAAAUAUUUCAUGAUAUGCCAGAUGCAGUGGGUCAUGCCUGUAUUCCCAAUGGCUCAGGAGGUGAGGUAGGAGGAUUGCAAGUUCAAAGCCAGCCUUAUUAAUUUAGCAAGACUCUAAGCAACUUAGCAAGACCCUGUCUCAAAAUAAAAAUACCAGGCUAGGGAUGUGGCACAGUGGUUAAGUUUCUCUGGGUUCAAUUCCUGGUACCCCCAAAAAAUAUUUCAUGAUAAACCUGAAGUAUUAAAAACAUUUUCAUUAUUAAUUAUAUAUGUCUCACUCUUGAGGACUUUUUAUGACUUUAACACAUGUCUUAUGAGGUAUGGGCUUUCCUAGGGCAGGCUUUUCUGACUGGAGUGAGGGAGGUUGUUCUAGAUUUGAUUAUUGUAUGUCCAUGAGAGUUAGUCUAACACUAUCAUGAUGUUCUGGAUGUUUUUAACUCUUCUGAUUUAUUAAGUCUUUUAUACCCUUAUCACAGUUUUUGUGUUCUGCUCUCCUUCUCCUUCCUUGAGUGUACCUUCUAUUGACUACUUUAAAAACAUUUAGGUAUCUACCUGUGUGUUAGAUGGGAUGGGUCAGGUUUUUAAGUUUUAGUUGAUAUUAUGACUGAGGACCCAGAGCUUUCACAUUCCUACCCUGUUUCUCUACUUCCCCAUGAGGUUGUCAGAUGAGCUAUACUCACAAAAGAAAGUAGGAUAAUUUUAUUUAUUCCAUUAUUGGAUGACUUAGUAUCUGCUAACACCAGGACAGUACUUAACUGUCAGUCUCUCACCAAGGUUCCAGACCUAAGUGGUUGUUCUUCUGUUUCCCCUAAAGAUGAGAGUAAAAACCCACUGCUGUGUGAUUUGGAUACAAAAGUGUAUAAAGGGUUUUCAACUUUUGUCCUUCAAGUCAUCUGUUAUAGUUUGGAUCUGGAAUGUUCCCCAAAGAUCCAUGUACUUAAAGGUUUGGCGCCCAGUGCAGUAAUGUCCAGAGGUGAGGGUUUGGGGCUCUAACCUUAUCUGUAAUCCAUUUGAUAGGUUAAUAAUUUUAAUGGUCUACUGAGAGGAGGUGAAAACUGUAGGAAGGUGUGUAUGGUUACAGGAAGUAGAUCACUGGGGGCAUUCUCUUGGGGGGAAUUUAUCUUCUCCAUGGCCCUUUCCCACUGCUCUGCUUUGUAGCUACCAUGAACUAAGCAGGUUUCCUCUGCUUCAUACAUCUACCAUGAUGUUCUGCUUCACUUCAGGCACAGAGCAAUGAAGUAGGACAACCAUGAACUGAAACCUCUGAAACCAUGAACCAAUACAAACCUUUCCUCCUCCAAGUUGUUUGUCAGGCAUUUUUGGUCACAGUGAUGAAAAGCUAACUAACACAUCUUCUUUUACUCUCAUUCUAUGAGUUCCUAAAUCUAACUGUUGGGGCUGACAACAGUGCAUCAUGGCUAGGUCCUGGAUAAAGAAUAAAUUUUUACUAGUUAUCUUUCUUUUGUGUACCUGCAACUCAUGCACAGGGUUUGUGAAUUUGUUCUUCAUCAGUCUUACAACCUUUUCUUUUUCUUCCUACAUUUGGUUAAGAGGCCAAGGAUCCUAGGAACUAGAGAGCAGCAAUGAGAGCCCUUCACUCCUGAGCCUUCUCCUGUUAGAGGUGGGUGCCUCUGAACUCACCAUUAUUCCAAAUCCUUAUUUCUUGUGAAAAAUAGAAUGAUUGCUGCACCAGAAUUCUGGAAUCCGGAGUGAAACAGAGUAAAAUUAAGUAACUAUGUGGCCCAUCUUAUGCAGGGUGAUGUAAGCUCUGUGAGGUGAUGCACCAAUGAAAUGGCCAUUUUUCUGUCCUCCAGGGUCUUUAUAGUAAAGUUAUACCUUUAAAGCAAAGGUAGAUCCAUUCACAUAUUGAUGACUAUAAACAAGAGAUCCCAGUGGUGAGUGUACUAACACAGUCUGGGUUUCCCUUACUAUCCAUACUCUCAUCUUCCAAAUAAAAACUAUAAGAACUUGGGAGAUUUUUAUACUGAAAAUUAACUCUUUAAUUUGAAAAUCCAUUAUACUUAAUGAACCAAUGAAAAUGGUUAAGUUNACAGGGCUAGGUGUAAGGCGUGGUGAUGAAAAACAUCUGGAUGAUGUCCUUAAUAUCGACCAUUUCCAGUGAAUGUUAUUUCCAUUCAUCCCUUGUGGAAAAUCACAACCAGGAAAGAGUCCUUCUUAUUACCUCCGUUUUCUUUAUAUCCAUAUGCAGUGCCUAUUGUGUCCCUAAGAGCUAUUUGAAGUUUCCAGAACACUGCAAAAAUCAAUAAGGCCAUGACCCUGCAAUCAGAGUUAGUUAGGUGGUAAAUACACCAGGGUUUUAUGCAGAUAAUUUCAGGAGCUUGUUUGAUGUGGCUUAACCUGAGAGGGAGAUGAUAGAGCAAGAGGAGGUUAAUAUCCUAGUACCUAAUCCAUAUAGGUAAAACUACCCAUAGAUAGGUAUGAAGGAUUUGGACAUGAAGUGGGGCAUACUGGCAGGAAUAAAUAAGAAGAGCCAAGCUUGGUGCAGUGGUACAUGCCUAUGAUCCCAGCAGCUUGAGAGGCUGAGACAGGAGAACUGUGAGUUCAAAGCCAGCCUCAGCAACUUAGUGAAGCCCUAAGCAACUCAGCAAGACUUUGCCUCUAAAUAAAAUAUUAAAAAGGGCUGUGGAUGUGGCUCAGUGGUUAAGAACCCCUGGGUUCAAUUCCUGGUACAAAAAAAAAAAAAAAAAAAGAAGGGCCAGAUUUUUAAAAUAGAAGCCCAGUAGUUGUGUGAGCUUAUGGGAUUUGACAGUUUUGAUGUUUUUAAGGAUAUGUGCAUAAGGGAAUCUUCUGACUGAAUGAGGGGAUGGUUAGAUCAUUAACAGAGAGAGGGACUUGGUACUGAGAGGAAAUUUCCACAAAUCUCUGAGGAUUAUCCAUCCAGGAAGUCUAUUUAGGCUACCUUACCCCUAGUGUCUGCAUAGUAGAAACUACCUCUUCUAGUCUCUGCUGAAGAUCAUGUAAUUGGGGUUUCAUACAAUAUGACUGAAGGUGUUCUAUGGGAGUGGUAUCCUCCCAAAUAGACACUGUCAGGAAAUAGAGCCAGUUGACUACAUGCACAGGUUACUUCUCAGAGGUAAGAACAAGUAUACAGAGGUCUAUGAUCAAUGCCCUGUGGGAGAUGCUUCGUGCAGCAGACAACCAGAAAGUCCUCAGAAGUACAGUCCAUGAAAUGUCAUGUUAAGCAGAUCCAUUUUAUAUAAAGAUCAUAUGAAUGUAUCAAUUUUUCCUUCUUUAUCUGUUUUAGAAUAAGUGAUCAUCAAGACUAGCUUUAAGAAAGACAUUGGCAAAGUUUGCUCAAUAAGAGUUCAUGAGGGACAGCCUCAGUGCCUCUUUUUCUUGUAAAAAUAUUUCAUGAUAUGCCAGAUGCAGUGGGUCAUGCCUGUAUUCCCAAUGGCUCAGGAGGUGAGGUAGGAGGAUUGCAAGUUCAAAGCCAGCCUUAUUAAUUUAGCAAGACUCUAAGCAACUUAGCAAGACCCUGUCUCAAAAUAAAAAUACCAGGCUAGGGAUGUGGCACAGUGGUUAAGUUUCUCUGGGUUCAAUUCCUGGUACCCCCAAAAAAUAUUUCAUGAUAAACCUGAAGUAUUAAAAACAUUUUCAUUAUUAAUUAUAUAUGUCUCACUCUUGAGGACUUUUUAUGACUUUAACACAUGUCUUAUGAGGUAUGGGCUUUCCUAGGGCAGGCUUUUCUGACUGGAGUGAGGGAGGUUGUUCUAGAUUUGAUUAUUGUAUGUCCAUGAGAGUUAGUCUAACACUAUCAUGAUGUUCUGGAUGUUUUUAACUCUUCUGAUUUAUUAAGUCUUUUAUACCCUUAUCACAGUUUUUGUGUUCUGCUCUCCUUCUCCUUCCUUGAGUGUACCUUCUAUUGACUACUUUAAAAACAUUUAGGUAUCUACCUGUGUGUUAGAUGGGAUGGGUCAGGUUUUUAAGUUUUAGUUGAUAUUAUGACUGAGGACCCAGAGCUUUCACAUUCCUACCCUGUUUCUCUACUUCCCCAUGAGGUUGUCAGAUGAGCUAUACUCACAAAAGAAAGUAGGAUAAUUUUAUUUAUUCCAUUAUUGGAUGACUUAGUAUCUGCUAACACCAGGACAGUACUUAACUGUCAGUCUCUCACCAAGGUUCCAGACCUAAGUGGUUGUUCUUCUGUUUCCCCUAAAGAUGAGAGUAAAAACCCACUGCUGUGUGAUUUGGAUACAAAAGUGUAUAAAGGGUUUUCAACUUUUGUCCUUCAAGUCAUCUGUUAUAGUUUGGAUCUGGAAUGUUCCCCAAAGAUCCAUGUACUUAAAGGUUUGGCGCCCAGUGCAGUAAUGUCCAGAGGUGAGGGUUUGGGGCUCUAACCUUAUCUGUAAUCCAUUUGAUAGGUUAAUAAUUUUAAUGGUCUACUGAGAGGAGGUGAAAACUGUAGGAAGGUGUGUAUGGUUACAGGAAGUAGAUCACUGGGGGCAUUCUCUUGGGGGGAAUUUAUCUUCUCCAUGGCCCUUUCCCACUGCUCUGCUUUGUAGCUACCAUGAACUAAGCAGGUUUCCUCUGCUUCAUACAUCUACCAUGAUGUUCUGCUUCACUUCAGGCACAGAGCAAUGAAGUAGGACAACCAUGAACUGAAACCUCUGAAACCAUGAACCAAUACAAACCUUUCCUCCUCCAAGUUGUUUGUCAGGCAUUUUUGGUCACAGUGAUGAAAAGCUAACUAACACAUCUUCUUUUACUCUCAUUCUAUGAGUUCCUAAAUCUAACUGUUGGGGCUGACAACAGUGCAUCAUGGCUAGGUCCUGGAUAAAGAAUAAAUUUUUACUAGUUAUCUUUCUUUUGUGUACCUGCAACUCAUGCACAGGGUUUGUGAAUUUGUUCUUCAUCAGUCUUACAACCUUUUCUUUUUCUUCCUACAUUUGGUUAAGAGGCCAAGGAUCCUAGGAACUAGAGAGCAGCAAUGAGAGCCCUUCACUCCUGAGCCUUCUCCUGUUAGAGGUGGGUGCCUCUGAACUCACCAUUAUUCCAAAUCCUUAUUUCUUGUGAAAAAUAGAAUGAUUGCUGCACCAGAAUUCUGGAAUCCGGAGUGAAACAGAGUAAAAUUAAGUAACUAUGUGGCCCAUCUUAUGCAGGGUGAUGUAAGCUCUGUGAGGUGAUGCACCAAUGAAAUGGCCAUUUUUCUGUCCUCCAGGGUCUUUAUAGUAAAGGUAUACCUUUAAAGCAAAGGUAGAUCCAUUCACAUAUUGAUGACUAUAAACAAGAGAUCCCAGUGGUGAGUGUACUAACACAGUCUGGGUUUCCCUUACUAUCCAUACUCUCAUCUUCCAAAUAAAAACUAUAAGAACUUGGGAGAUUUUUAUACUGAAAAUUAACUCUUUAAUUUGAAAAUCCAUUAUACUUAAUGAACCAAUGAAAAUGGUUAAGUUGUGGGCAGAUUUGAAAGUGAGAGGCUGUAGAGUUUCUUGCAGUCACUUUCAGUGGGUUUUGCUUUAUGCUCCCGUUGUUUAAACAUUAUUGCUAUUAUCUCUCCACUUCCCUGAGACUUUACCCUUCCAUAGUCCUAGGUUUAAGUCAUGUUGAGCAAGCACAGGGUAUUUGUGGCUAAUAAUGAACAUUUGCCACAUUAAUGCUUUGAAAAUCUCAGACUGGAGCUGAGAGGUUCAGGUAAUUUAAAAGGCUGUGCUAGGAAAUUAGAGAGUGGAGGUAAGGAAGGCUUGCAAAGUCUUCAGAUCUAUGUAUAUAGUAUGUCUUGCCAUGUAUUUAUUCCUAAUAUCUCAGCAAUAUUUUAUAUAUUUUAAUAUACUGGUCUUAUACAAGUUUUUACAAAAAUUAUUCCUGUAUUGCUCAUAUUUUGAUACUAUUAGAAAAGGUAUAUUUUUCAACUUUUUAUUUUGAAAUAAUUAUAUAUUCAAAGGAAGUUGUAGCUAGAGAAUAGAGAGCUACCAUCUACCCAAUUUCUCAAAAUGGUUAUAACUUAUAUAAAUUAAGUAUAAAAUCAAAACCAGAAAAUAAGUAUUAGAACAAUAUGUGUAUAGUCAUUUCAUUUAUGUGUACUCUGUUACUUGUAGACCACUUUAUUUGAGGUAUAAAUGACAUCCAAAAUGCUGUACAUAUUUCAAGUAUACACCUGGGAAACCACCGCUGCAGUCUAUGAUGUUAAGUAUAACUAAUACCUCCAAGGGUUUCCUGUUACCCUGGUUUUUUACUUCUCUGUUUAUUAUUUUUGUGAUAAGAAUACUUAACUAAAUAUGUACCCUCUUAGCAACAUUUUUUUAGAUAGGAUCUUGCUGUGUUGCACACUGGCUUUGAGCUUAUGAUCCUCCUGCUUCAGCUUCCUAAAUAGCUGGGAUUACAGGCAUGUGCCACCACACCUGGCCCUCUUAGCAACAUUUAAGUAUACAGUAUUAUUGUUGAUUAUAACUACCAUACUAUACAGUAGGUCUCUAGACUUACUUGUCUUGCAUAAGUGAAACUUUAUACCCCCUGAACAGCAACCUCCCAAUUUCUGUACCCUUUCCCUUGGUAAUCACUAUACUACUUUCUGCUUCUAGAAGUUUUAUUGCUUUAGAAAUUUCAUAUUAAUUGGAAUCGUGCAAUAUUUAUCCUGUGACUGGCUUAUUUCACUAUCUUGUUGUAUGAUGCAGUCUAUAGUAUUGUUUGGUAUAUCUCUUAUAUAGCUAUAAGCGUUUAUAAUGGUUGCUUUAGGUACUACAUUAUACACACAUAACUUAUCACAGUCCACUGGUGGUGUCCUUUUACUUUUUAUUUUUUAUUUAUUUGCAGGGGUGGGGGUACUGGGGAUUGAACUCAAAGGCACUCAAUCACUGAGCCACAUCCCCAGCCCUAUUUUGUAUUUUAUUUAGAGACAGGGUCUCACUGAGUUGCUUAAUGCCUUGCUUUGUACUGAGGCUGUCUUUGAACUUAUGAUCCUCUUGCCUCAGCCUCCUGAGCCUCUGGGAUUACAGGCAUGCAUCACUGUGCCCGACUUCAUUGUACUUUUUAAAGUGAAAUACAGGAGCUGGAAUACAGGAGCUCAGUGGUAGAGCACUUGCCUAGCAUGUGUGAGGCACUGGAUUCAAUCCUCAGCAUCACAUAAAAAUAAAUAAAGACAUUGUAUCCAUAUACAACAAAAACAUAAUUUUUAAAAAGUGAAAUUUAACCCUUAUCUUCAUUGAUGUCCUUUUACCCCCCACACACAUACACUUAUAUCAUUUAUAUUUUAUACCAUUUAUAUCAUUAUCUUACAUAUUUUCUCUAUAUACAUUUGGAACCACCUCAGACAAUGUUAUGAUUUUUGCUUCAUCCAUCAAAUGUAAUUUAGAAAACUCAAGAGGAAAAAGAGGUAAUUCUCAGACAAAGAUUUUAAAAUAGUUAUAAAACUAUUGUCUUUACCUAUUUGGGGCUCUAUCAAGUUUUCUUUAUUCCUUCCUGAUGUUCCAAGUUUCCUUCUUUUAUUAUUACUUUUCUGUUUGGAGAUUUCUUUAGCCAUUCUUUUAGAGUACAUCUGCUGGUAUAAAUUCUGAGUUCUCCUUCAUCUGAGAAUAUUUUGCCUCCACCUUCAUUCAUAAAGGAUACUUUAGCUGAAUAUAGGAUUCUGGGUUGAUGGUUUUUAUGUUGUGCUACUUCCUUCUGGUCUCCAUUGUUUCUUUUAAUGAGAAAUCCUUGGCAUUCAAAUUGUUUAUCCUCCACUGGUAAAGGUGUUAUUUCUUUCUCAUUGCUUUCAAGAACAAUGAGAAAGAAAUAACACCUUUCCUUUGUCUUUAGUUUUCAGAGUUAGUUUUGAAAGAAAUAAGAUCUUUCCUUUGCUUUAGUUUUCAGAGUUUGAUUUUGAUAUUUCUUGGGUGGAUUUCUUUGUUUUUUCCCUGUUUGGUACUUUCUCGGUUUCUUGAAUCUGUAAGUUUAUUAAUUAUUUCAUUUUUUUCAAGUAUGUUUGCAGUUGGUCAUUGAAGUUUUUAUAACUAUUUUAAAAUCUUUGUCUAGUAAUUCUCACAUUCCUGUCAUUUUGACAUUGUCAUCUGUUGAUUGUCUUUUUUCAUUCAGUUUGAGACAUUCCUGCUUCUUGGUUGAUAAAAGCAAUUUUAGCUGUAAACAUGGACACAGUUGGAAUUAUGAGAUAGUGGAGCUUAUUCAAACAUUUAUUUAUUUGUUUCUUUGUUUGUUGGUACUGGGGAUUGAACUCAGGGGCAUUUGACUACUGGGUCACAUCCCAAGCCCUAUUUUCUAUUCUAUUUAGAGACAAGGUCUCCCUGAGUUGCUUAGUGCCUCACUUUUGCUGAGCGUGGCUUUGAAUUCGUGAUCCCCCUGCCUCAGCCUCCCGGGCUGCUGGGAUUACAGGCAUGCACCACCACACCCGGCCUUUAAACAUUUUUUUAAAGAUGGCUUUUCCUGACACUACUCUGGCAGGUAAAGGUAAUUGCCACUGCAUUAGUGCCAGGUAGGUUUGAAGUCCAGAUUACCCAUGUAGCCUUUGUUGACACCUGAAAGAGCUGCUCCUUGGACUUCUGGAUGGGAGGGUGGGAUUUAUGGCUUCCCACUAUGGCUCCAUUUAUACCUCCCUGGCUGGGAGGAUAAGAAUGCCUUUACUGCUUCUUACAUGGUCUCCACAUGGGAAGAAGGGUUGUCUUGUUACUAUUACCACUAGAAGGUAGUGAAAAUCCCAGCUUUUCACUAGGUCACUUUGGAUACACCUCUGAACCUCAUUUCUGAGAGGUUAAUGUACUACAGGCUCCCUAUGUAGUCUCUACUGAUACUCUUCUGGAGGAUUGAAAGUCCCAGCUUUCUGCUUGGCUUUCUCUGGCAUGAUAUCAGCAAAGAGGAAGACGGUGUGUACCUCAUCACAGACUUGUGAGGAGUGGCUGUUCUUCCUCUCCACAGUCUUUUCUGGCAAGGAUGGGGUAAGACCACAGUUCUUUCUGGUUUUUGUUGGAGUAGAACAAUUAUCUGAAAGUUUUCUCUCUAACAAGGCUGAAUCCCCCACCCCUCGUCUUUUAGCUAUAAAGAACAGGCUGUUAUUUUUUCUAUUGUUUUCAUUGUGUCCUUUGGUGUUUCUGGGUUGCUGGCUUCUCUAUUCCCUCAUUUGGGAUAUGUGAGGCAAAAAGAAAACCCCAGGAACUCACCACAUAUUGUUCCAUGGUCCCAAGUUUCCUAGCUAGUCGGACUUCUUCUCUUCACCUUUCAAGAAUCUUCUUGUUUUAUAUCUCCUGCACAGGUCUUUUAAUUAUAUUUAAUACAAGGAAUCAGAAAAAGUAUAACUACUUUUGACUACUCCUGGAAUUGGAAUUGUUAACAAUUUUUUGUCCACUUUCUCUAGUCUAGCUCUCCGACUUUUAGCCUUUACUCCACAAGAAAUAUCCUUUGGGAGAGAACAUUUAUCUUAUCAGUUUUUCCAUUCUAUUUGUUCAUAGUGGAAAAACAGCAGAUGCAAAGGCUAAAGAAAGAUAGGAAGGGCUGCAGUUGUGUCUCAGUGGUAGAGCACUUGCCUAGCAUGUGCAAGGCACUGGGUUCGAUUCUCAGCACCACAUAUAAAUAAAAUGAAUAAAAUAAAGAUCCAUCAACAUCUAAAAAAAAUUUUUUAAAAGAGAAAGAUGGGAAAAUCUGCCAACCAAAAAUAGUUCAGAUUAGAAAUAUCAGCUGAUAAAUGGUACGGUAUAUAUGGCUUGGGUCCACCUUGUUUUUCUUUUUUUAAAAAAUAGAUAUACUAUAUAUUAUAUUACAUAAUUAAUAUUAAUAUAUUAAUUUAAUAAUUUAAUAAUAUUAAUUAUAUUAUAUAUGUGUAAUAUAAAAUAUAUAUGUAUUAUAUAUAUAUUUUAGUUGUAGUUGGACACAAUACCUCUAUUUCAUUUAUUUAUUUUUAUGUGCUGAGGAUUGAACCCGGCCAUGCACAUGUGAGGCGAAUGCUCUACCACUGAGCCACAAUCCCAGCCCCCUACCUUGUUUUUCUUACUGAAGGCUUUGAGUUAUAUCUGGAUGACUCAAGAUUAUUAUUUGUGCAAAGUGUGGAAGAUAGCAAGUGACUAGAGCCUCAGAGUCUAAGUGGCAGGACAUUAAAUAGCUAAGAGAUGGUGCUAAGUAAUCCUGAUCAGAAAUCGUCUGCUAAUUGAUUUAUGGAAUUUAAGGUGAAGGGAUCCAAUUUAGUGAAUGGGAAAGGUUGGUGCCCUUACUAGAGGGGGAACUCUGGGAUUCCAUCAACUCCUUUGUUGGGGUAGAACUAAAUUCCUUAAAUUUACUUUAUUAUUUCAGUAAUAGUAUAAUAUUUGAGCUUAUUUAUGAGGUGACACUGCCCUUGUCAUUUCAAAUUUUAAUGCUAAGUUAAACCUUGAUGGUCUAUAAUGAAGAGCUCAUUGUGGAAGUUGCAUAUGUAUAAGCUUCCUGCCUGUCAUUGUAAUCUGCUUUGGCAGAGACUCUAAGAACCCUAUUAUGUCUUCAACAUAAUUUCAUCACCAGAAAUCUAGAUGAUGAAUUUUUAUCCUGUAUGAGUAUUUCUAUUCAGUUUUAGAAGGUAGUGAUACUUGCAAAAAACUAACUGGUCAACAUGCAGGCCUUGUUCCAAAGAAGGUUACUCCUGGUUAAUACAGAGUGUGCAUGCACAAGAACCUGGCUGUAAUAGUAUACAAACCUUGAAUUGACAGAGUAAGGCUCACCUCUUUUCAAGACGUACUUCACUGCCUACUUUGAAGUGACAAUGAAUGCUAUUCUAUAAAACAAAAGUAGAAGUUCCAUCUCAUUAUGUAAAUCAUGCACAAAAAUAAAAACUACCUCUAACUGAAGCCUUUGCACCUAAUUGAUCUGAAGAUAUUUCUAUAUUUCUACAAUAAUGUUGCAAUGAGCUCUCUUUUGGGUAUGAGAAGUAAGGACCUUAAUUUCUCAAAAUUUCUUAUGAUAGUUGUGCUUUCAUUUAUUGUAAAGAAUCUGUGCUAAAUAAUGAUAAUUUCCUCAAUUAGUACUGUAGUUUGAAUGUGUCCCCCAAAGGUCAUGUGUUGAAGACCUAAUUCCCAGUAUAAAAGUAUUAAGAAGUGGGACCUUUAAUAGGUGAUUAGGUCAUAAGGGCAUGGCCCUCAUGAAUAGAUUAGUGGCAUUAUCACAGAAGUGGGUUCCUUAUAAAAGGAUAAAUUUGGCUUCUUACUUCUCUCUCACUCUUGUUCUCUUUUGUCUUUUUGUCUUCUGCCAUGGAAUGAUACAAGAAGAAGCCCUUUGUCAGAUACCAGGCUUUGACCUUGAACUUUCCAGCCUCCAGAGCCAAUGAGAAAGAAAUUUCUAUUCACUAUAAAUUAUCUAUUCCAUGGGAUUCUGUUAUAAAAGCACAAAAUGGACUAAGACAGUGAGCAUUCACUGACUUGCACUUCCUUAGUCAGCAUCUGACACCAUUCAUGUAUGUGUGCCCACUAAUGUGUCAUAUACUGAUUUGAGCAGAAUAUAUAGAAAGAUGAUAUCAACUGAGGUCCUGAAACAACCUGUGUGAAUGUUUUAGUAUUUAUUAGAGCAUUCAGAGAUAAGUGAAGCACAUGAACACAUUUGGAUUACAUGGCGAGUACAAUGUGAUGACAGGCCAGGAUAUAGGAAUACACAGAACGAGAUUGGAUGAAAUUGGCAGUAGACUAAAGAGAUAGGAUCAUAUUGUCACUAGGGAAGUAUAAAGCAUUUAUCCUUUCAUUUUUUGUCUCUUCAUUCAACUUUCCCAUCCAUCCAUUCAUUCUUCCAUCCAUCAUAAGUGACUGCCUGCUAUUUGUUAAUUGCUGUGCUAGGCAAUGUAAUCAAGUGUGAAAACAUUAGUCUGAGUCUUUGCCCUAUGACUAAUACUAUAACCUUUAUUGUCACUUUCACCCCAACUCUCUUUUCUCAGUCCAGAUAUUACUUUGUAUAAUUUGCAAUUGGCAUGUAGUGUAGAAUGAUUUCAUGAUCAUAAAGUAGGAGACUUAUUUCUAGUCCAUUUGGUCAUGUAACAUCUCUAAAUACUGAUUUUUUUUCUCACUUUUGAGCCUCACUGAUUUUUUUUAGGAAACCUCUAACAUGGUAGUAAACAACAAAAAUACAUAUGAAGUCUCAUGGGGCUGGGGUUAUGACUCAGUGGUAAAGCACUUGCCUAGCAUGUGUGAGGAACUGGGUUUGAUUCUCAGCACCACAUAUAAAUAAAAAUAAAGUCCAUUAACAAUGAAAAAAUAUUAAAAACAUGUAUAAAGUUUGUUUUGAAUGGACAAGUAGUCCAGCAUAUUCAAGGCCUGAAUAUGACUUUUAUGACUAGAUCUGAGAAUGUGCUAAGGAUGUGUUGUGAUCCAGAAAAGUCAGCUGGAGUCAGACCUAUGGUGCUUGUAAGUAUAGUAUAUUGCAGCUAUUUUUGUAGACAUUGAGGGUUUUUUUUUAAAGAAAAACUAAUAGACUUUAUUAUUUUUAGAGCAACUCUAGAUUUGCAAGAAAACUGAGCAGAAAGUACAAAGCGCUCAUUCCCCUCCUUUAAUUUUCCCUAAUAUUUUCUCCCUUGGGAUAAAAUAUACAUGACAAAAAUUGAACAUUUUAACUGUCUUAAAUGUACAUACAGUUUAAUGGCCUUAAGUACAUUUAAAUCAUUAUGCAACCAUUACCACCAUCCAGAACUAUCCCAUCAUCCCAAACCAAAGCUCUUUACCCAUUAAAUAAUAACACCCCUUUUUCCCUUCCCAUUAGCCUCUGAUAAAUAUGAUUCUACUUUUCUGUUUCUAUGAAUUUGACUAUUUGAGGAUAUUAGUCAGCUCUAAGUGCCAUAAAAAAGUGCCAUAGACUAGGUGGCUUAAACAACGGAAAUUAAUUUUCACUAUUCUAGAGCCUAGAAGUUUGAUAUCAGGGUACAAGCAUGGUCAGUUUCAGGUGGUGGCUCUCUUUUUGCUUGAAGAUAGCCACCCUCUUGCCAUGUGUUCACCUGACGUUUCCUACGUGUGUGCUCAUGGAAGAGAAAGAGAGCAAGCUCUCCUUGAUCUCUUCUUACAAUGGAACUAAUCCUAUUAAAUUAAGAUGCCACCAUUAUGACCUCAUUAAAACUUAAUUGCCUCCUAAAAGCCCUAUCUCCAAAUACAGUCACAUUAAAGGUUAGGGCCUCAAUGUGUAUAUUUUGGGGGAAUAAUUCAGUACUCAGUGUCUCAUAAAAGUGGAAUCAUAUAAUAUUUUUCCUUUAGUGAUGGACUUAUUUUGGUCAAGAUAAUAUCAUCAAGGUUCAUCAAUGUUGUAAGAAGUAUCAUAAUUUCCUUCCUUUUAAGACUGAAUACUUUUCCAUACAUAUAUAGUUUAUUCAUACAUCCAUUGAUGGACAUUUAGAAUGCUUCCAUCUUUUGAUUAUUAUGAAUAGUGUUGUCAUGAACAUGAGAGUACAGAUAUCUGCCUGAAUCACUGCUUUCUUUUCUUUUCUUUUUUUUUUUUUUUUUGCUACCGGGGAUUGAGCUUGAUCAUUGAGCCACAUCCUCUAUUUUGUAUUUUAUUUAGAGAUAGGGUCUCACUGAGUUGCUUAGCACUUCACCAUUGCUGAAGCUGGCUUUGAAUUCAUGAUCCUCCUGCCUCAGCCUCCUGAGCUGCUUUCAAUUCUUUAGGGUCUAUACCAACAGUGGAAUUGCUGAAUCAUAAAGUAAUUCUAUAUGUUUGUUUGUUUGUUUUAGAAACUACUUGCUGUUUUCUUCAGUGACUGUACAAAUUUAAAUUCAAACCAGUAAUAUUCAAGGGUUCCAAUAUAUAUUGAGCAUCAUUUCAUAUGCCUAUUGGCCAUUUGUGUGUCUUAUUUGGAGAAAUGUCUAUUCAAGUCCUUUACCCAUUUUUAAAUUGGGUGGUUUGCAUUUUUGUUCAUUUAUAGAAGUUUUUAAAUAUAUUAUGGAUAUUAGUCUCCUUAUCAUAUGCUGUGGUCUGAAUGUUUUUGCCCCCUCAAAAUCCAUAUGUUGAAAUCUUAACCUACAAAGUGUUGAUAUGAAGAGAUGAGACCUUUGGGAAAUGAUUAAAUUAUUCAUGUGGCCAUUAUGCCCACAUGAAUGGCAUCAGUGCCCUUAUCAAGAGGCCUGAGAGAGCUUGUUUGCCCUUUCUACAUGUGAGAACAUAGCACAAAGGUGACAUCUAUGAUGAAGUGAGCUUUCAUCAGACAUUGAAUCUGCUAGAAACUUGAUCUCAGACUUUUCAGCCUCCAAAACUAUGAGAAAUAAUUUUCUAUUGUUUAUAAGCUACCUUGGUUAUGGUAUUUUUGUUAUAGUAGUCCACACAGACUAAGACAUCAUAUAAAUGAUUUGUAAAUAUAUUCCCUCAGUCUGUGAGAUUAUUUUACACUAUUGAUAGUGUCCUUUGAUGCACAAAAGUUUUUGUUUUAAUAAUGUCCAACUCAUCUUUUUCUUUUUAGUUGCCCAUGCUUUUGGUGUCAAGUCCAAGAAAUCAUCACCAAAUCUAAUGUCACAGAAUUUCCAGUUUUCUUCUAAGAGCUAUGUAACUGUUCAUACAUUUCUGUCUUUGAUCAUUUGGACUUCAUUUUUAUAUGUGGAAUAUGGUAAGGGUCCAAUGUCUGUCUUUUGCAUGUGGAUAUCCCAGCCAUUUGUUGAGUAAUGUCCAUUCACUAUUGCAUAGUCUCGACACCCUUGCUGAAAAUCAUUUGUCUAUAUACACAAGAGUUUAUUUCUGGGAUCUCUACUCUACUCCAUUGGUUUAUAUUAGUCAGAUUUCCAUCUUUGUAACAAAAUACUAAUGUAAUCCACUUAUAAGGAAGAAGACUUAUUUUGGCUCAGGAUUUCAGAGAUUUCAGUCCACGUUCAGCUGGAUCCAUUGCUUUGGGGCCUGUGUCAAGGCAGAACAAUAUGGUGGGAGUGCUUGAUGGGUCAAAGAUGUUCACUUUAUGGUGGCCAGGAAUCAUAAGAAAGACUCAGGAAGGGGCCUGGAUAUCAAUAUCCCCUUCAAGGGCACAACCCCAGUGACCAAACUUCUUCCCAGUAGGCUCCAUGACUUAAAGUUUCCACAGCUUUUCAAUAGCUUCACAGGCUGGCAGCCAAGACUUUGGCAUAAAGGCCUUUGGAAGACAGUUAGGAUCCAAGCCAUAGCAGUGUAUAUAUGGUUAUAUGGCAGUAUCAGACAGUUUUAAUUACUGUACUUUGUCAUGAUAAAUUUUAAAACAGGAAGUGUGAGUCUUCCAGCUUUGUUCUUUUUCAAUAUUGUUUUGACUAUCUGGGGUCCCUUGAGAGUCCCUAUGAGUUUUUCAAGCUUUGCAAAAAAAUCAUUUUUGAGAUUUUGAUAGGGAUUUCAUUAGAUAUGUAGGUAGCUUUGGUAGUGACAUCUUAACAAUAUUAAGUCUUCCAAUUCAUGAACACAGGAUGCUUUCCAUUUGUCUUCUUUAAUUUCUUUCUAUAGUGUUAUAUAUUUUUCAGUAUAUAAAACUUUUAUGUUUUUAAAGUUAUUCCUAAGUAUUUUAUAAGUUUUGGUGCUAUUAUAAAUGGAAUUUUUUCUUUUUCAGAUUGUUCAUUGUAAGGACAUAGAAAUGCAAGUAAUUUUGUGUUCAUUAUAUAUCCUAGAAAUUUUCUGAAUUAGUUUUAAUAAGUCUUUUGUGUGUGUGGAUUCUUUAGGGUUUUCUACAGAUAAGGUCAUAUUAUCUGCACAAAGAAACAAUUUCACUUCUUCAUUUUCAGUUUAGAUCCCCUUUAAGUUUUUUCUUGCCUAAUGGUUAUGGCCUGAACUUCCAAUACUAUGUUGAGUAGAAACGGUGAAAGUUGGCAUCCUUGUCUUGUUCCUGAUCUUGUAGGAAAGUUUUCGGUCUUCACCAUUGAGUAUGAUGUUAACUGUGGGUUUCCCUAUUACUAACAUUUCCUACAAUUAAAUGAACAAUAUUGAUACAUUAUUAUUAACUAAAGUCCAUAGUUUACACUAGGUUUCAAUCUUUGAAUUCUACAUCCCAUGGGUUUUCACAAAUGUAUAACAUGCAUCCAACAUUAUAAUAUCAUGCAGAAUAGGUUCACUUACCUAAAAUCCCUAAUGUCCCACCCAUGCAUCCCUCUCUUCUACCUGAAGCCCCUGACAACCACUGAUUUUUAAAAUGCCUCUAUAGUUUUGCCUUUUCCAGAAUGUUAAAUAGUUGGACUCAUACAGUUUUUUCAGAUGUAUUUCAGUUAUCAAUGUUCAUUUAAGCUUCUUUCAUGUCAUUUUGUGCUUUUUAUGUGUGUGUGGUGCUGGGGAUUGAACCCAGGGCUCAUUUUGUGCUUAAUGUCAAAUUUCCAUUUAUUGCUGUAUAAUAUCCAUUAUACGGAUAUACCAGGGUUUCUCCAUUCACCUACUGAAAGGACAUCUUGGUUGUUUCCACAUUGGCAACUAUGAAUAAAGCUAAUUACAAAAUUUACGUGCAGGUUUUUGUGGGGACAUAUAUUUUUAACUCAAUUGGGUAAAUAUUAAAGAGUGUGAUUACUGGAUCAUUUUAUAAGAAUACGUUUAAGCAAAUCUUUACCCCUCACACAUCAGAUAGAGCACUAAUCACUAGUGUAUAUGAAGAAUUCAAAAAGCUAAACACCAAAAAACAAAUAAUCCAAUCAGUAAAUGGGCCAAGGACCUGAAGGGACACUUCUCAGAAGAUGAUGUACAAUCAAACAACAAAUACAUGAAAAAAUGUUCAUCAUCACUAGCAAUUAGAGAAAUGCAAAUCAAAACCACUGUAAGAUGCCGCAGUCUGGCUGGGCACAAUUCAGGAGCCACUUGUCAAAAGAAACGAACUUUAUU